UCGAAAGCUUGUUCUUCACCAAGGUUCACAGGCCAGCCGACCAAGUCGGUCAAGAAGUCCAGAAGCUACUUUCUUACAAAAACGAAAGUGGAUGGGCUGUGCUCAGCAAAGGGCAUUCUGUGGUGCUCACCGGCCACGGUGUCUCGAUCUUGAGGGUGGUAGAGGACUUUGACAAAUGGAAGGACCAUGUGAAAGAGAGGGGCUUUGAGUUUUGCUUCAAGUCAUACCAUGAGAGGGUUCGCACUGUGAGUCGACCUUGCUGCCGCCUUGAUAUUCCGGGCUCUACCGGGAAGGUUCCAGACACCAUGAAGUGUCCUGAUUGCCACCGGAGCAUGGAGACUUUCAUCAGUUACAAGUGUUGCCACAUUGAUGGUCCUACUGCACAUCACUAAGUUCUCGGUCUCCUUCCCUUUACUACUUCAAGUGUGAUGUUGGCUAGUCUAAUAAGUUCAGAGUAGUAUGUUGUAAUAUCUAUAUAAAGGGCAACCUAGUUAGCUCAUGCAUGGUGAUACUUGAUGCCUAAUUAAUGGGGACUAGUAUGCUUAUGUAAUUGUCUUCCUGAGUAUGUUUUCAUGGUAUGUAGCUGCUACUUUAUGUAAUGUAAUGUUUAUUUGAAUAAUUUGAGAUGUCUACAUUUCCCUUGGUGUGUAUAUGAAUUAUCACUUACUUCAAAUUGUUCUGACUUAUAUUUGAGGAAAAUAACUUCAAAUCUAAGUCCUUGGACGUUUUAAAAAUUCAAGAAAUCAUCAAACGUGUUUCCAAGCUGAUUGAUUGAAGUUCCUUCAUCACCCUUGCGCGCAAUUACAGUUAGUAAAAAAGUUGAGUUUGAGGUUACCAACUUUUCGUAAUUAGCUUAGCUAAGUCCCACUAGAACCUACAUUAUAAAACCAAUUAUCCAUACAAAACUUGUAAACGAUUCAAAAUAUAAACCAUAUAUAAUGUAUGUGUUUAGAGGGACAAAUAAAAUAAAAUGAGAAUCCUAGUUGCUGUUAAGGAAUUUGACUCCGAGUUUGGCCAAUUGAAUAUAGGUGUUAAAUUUUCUUCAUGUCUAAUAGAUUUGUCAAAUAUUUAUUUUAUUAAUAUUUUGGGCCCCAUAGUUACAUUAAGUAUUAAAAAAUAAUUCAAAUUGAUUUUAGUUUUCAUCCUGUUAGUUGUCAAUGGAACCCAUGCAUUAAAAAAUAAAUUAAAGGCAUUUGACUCCAUCUUUGUUUGUUGUAUAAAAAGGUAGCUAGAAAGUAAGGAGUUAAAUAACUCAGCUGCCACGUCAAUUAUGGCAUCUCCAUUAGAGGAAACCUUGAUGUCUAAAUUAUUAUACUUCUUUACCGACAAAAUUGGCAUAAUUGUUGAAAUAAAUACUCAAAAUUGAAAACAAAAUUGAAAGCUUACAUAAAUCAAUCUUCAUGUACCCCAAGGUCGGUCUCAAGGGUAUGCAACUGGUGCCACCGCACAAGGCCCCGAUUUUUCUUUUUGACAUGUAUGUAUAUAUUGUAGAAAACUAGCAUACUAUGUAUUUAGCGCAAGUGGCAUUUGUGCUUGGUUUCUUGUCCAAUUGUUGGAAACUUUUGUUUACUUUUCAGUUUUUAUGUACUAAAGGCAUGUUUACGUAUAUUGAAUGAAUUUCUAAGAAAGGGGUACCAUUCCUAUAUUUUGUGUUACUAAUAACCAAGGAUUUGACGUAAAGCAGCUCACCGUUCCAAGGUUUUGAUAGGAUUGGCGCUCAGCCGAUGUGCUCCUUUAGUUUGUUGAAUGCCUGUUGACAUUCCUCCGUCCAUUCAAUCGUUCACAUAGCUCCAUGGAAUGCCUUGAAAAUAAGUAGGCACCGGUCCGUUGAUCUCCAGAUGAACUGGCUCAAGGCCGCUACUCGUCCGGUGACGCUCUACAUCUCCUUCUUUGUUCAUGGUGAUGCCAUAUUGAUGAGGGCCUAUAUCUUUUAUUGGUUGACCUCUAUCCCUGUUUGUCUUACCACCCCAAAAACUUCCAUGAGCCGACCGCCAAGGCGCAUUUCACAGGAUUCAACUUCAUCCCGCAUGUGUUGAGGAUGUUAAACACUUUAGUUAGUUCUGCCACAUGCUAGUUUUCUUUUCUGCUCUUCACAAGCAUGUCUUCCAUAUAAACUGUAAUACCCGGAAAAUUUAAAUAUAUAAAUAUGUGAGGAGCAAUAAAAAAAAUAAUCGAUUUAUGGUUGUGAAAAUUUAAUUGAGAAAUUUAAAAAAAAAAUUUCUUCUAGAAAUUUAUAUAAUUUAAGUCGUAAAAUUUUAUCUGGAUAAGGGGAAAAGACGAAAAUGGCCCUAGUUGGCUAAAGUUAAUUAUACGAGGACAUAUUUUAUCCUCAUAUUUUCUAUCGUAUUUCUUGACAUAUUUGGAUAUAGCUCGACCUCACGAACACGUAGGCGCAAACCGUUUGUGAAAUGGAAUUAUAACGAAUAAGUUUUUAAUGAACGAAGUUAGGGGCAAAAUGGUAAUCUAAUCAUUAAUCUGGAAGGCUCCAGAUUUGUUGGAGAGUGGAUAUGGUGCCAUGUGUGUGGCUGAGAUUGAAGGAAUGGAAGAGAAAGGAAAAGGGGGCUGCCAAUCGAAGAAAGGGAAAAAGAAGGGAGGGCAAAUGAGAGGAGAUAGCAAGGAGGGCAAGGAGAAAGAGUGAGAACUAGCCAACCACACCCAUGACCCGGUUCCAUAUUGCGACCCAGUUUCAAAUCGAUUGUGUUUGUUGAUUUUUCCGUCGUUUUCCAGCGAUCCAAGGCUUGCCACAUCCUGUGCUUGACUCCACGACCCUCCUUCAAGUUCCACCCCAAACCCGAUGGUUUUUUAUGGUGGUUUCUUGGAAAUAGCCCCAACGACGCCAUGGGGAGACUGACGGAAAUCUGCCACUUCUAAAGGUGAUUCCUUUAAUCACCACUACCCCUAGACACCUCUUGAACCCAAGAACACACCCCAAACAACUAUAAGAGCGGCGGAGUACCGGAUGUGAUGGAUUGAAGUCACCCAUUUCUAGGGUUUCCGGUAAUUUCGAGGGAAAUUGGGGCUUUUCCCGGCCAAAUUGGACUUGGCCACAAGUAUAAAACUUACUCUACUCAUUAAGAUCUUCAUUUCAGUAAAAUUUGGAAAUUUUUAGAGUUAGUUGGAAAAAUUGGGUUUCCGUUCACCGGAAACCGCCACCUACAACGGCGCAUGGCCAGAGGACUGAAGCUGUCCUUUUAAGUUAAUUUCGAUAUUCUUAAUGCAUUUAUGAUAUGCAGUUGGUGUGAAUCAUUUGUUUGAACCUAGUUCCGUGAUUGGUAGUCACUUGUUUGAUUUUGGAAAUGGAUUAAAAGCAACUGGUGAACUACAAAAGGCUUGAUCCUGCAUCAAGGUUACGUAGGCUGUCUAACAGGGGUUAGAUAUAGUCUUAAAUAACUGAGAGUAAUCUUUUGUGGGAAUGUGAUUGAAGAAAUGAAAUUUUGAUGAUUAUUUGGAAAUUAAAACUGAUGGUUUAGUAAGUAAAUUUUUGGUUAGAUUUUGUGAGUGAUUAAGAAAUUUUAAAUAAAAAUUGUGAUCAAUUGGUAGUUAAUUAAACAAGAGUUUAAUUUUGGCCUACCACCGAAAUCAUUUUCCGAAAUAAAAUUUUAGGGUCGGGGCGUUACAUAAACCUCCAUCGUCUUCCCUACACGUCUUAUUGUCUUGGUCGGUCGAGUGCAUGUAGAUCUAGUUGUUCUCCUAUAAAGCAUUGAGGAAAGUUAAAAGUUCGCAUCCUGUCGUAGCAUCCAAGAGUCGGUUGAUACUUGGCAACGGAAAAUAGUUCUUUGAAAAUACCCAUUGAAAUCCAUGUAGUCUAUACAUAUGCACAAUUUGGUCAGUUUUUUUACUGUCGUUGCUUUUUUUACCACCAUUACAUUUGCCACCCACCAUGGGUAAUCUACCUUUAUGAUGAAACUGAUUCUAAGCAGUUUGUCUACCUCAACCAAUAUGGCCUCAUAACCUUUUGCGUAAGACUGUUGUUUAUGCCGAAUAGGCCUUCAAUGUGGAUCAAUACUGAACUUAUGAGAGAUGACACUCAAAUCUAUUCCGGGCAUAUCUGCAUACGACCAGGCAAAUACAUUAGUGUUGGCCCUUGACAAUUUUAUCAGCUCUGCUUGGACUUUCACAAUUAACUUUGUGUUGAUCAUGACAGUCUAGUCGGACAUUCUCCUAACAACACAAUUGUUUUCAAUUCUUUCAUGAGCUCAGGUAUUCUCGGAUCUCGUCGUCUCUCGAGUUAGGUGUUGCUGUCUUUCAGUUGAGGGGAGAUAAAUUCCGUCGAGCGCCCGGGUAUGAUAUAGAGUUCUCCCCGCUACUCUUCUUAUCUCACUGGCCAUACGGCUACAAAUAGGUUGAGCAUCAUUUUUUCUUCUCUGGUUCAUCAUGAUAUCUAACAUGGUGAUUCUUCCUUGCCGCAAAGUGUGUCUUGGAUUUGCUGGGUAGAAAUAAAAACCAAAUUGUAUGCAUUUCUUACAGACAGCGCUAAACUACUAAGGUUCUAAAUUUGCAAGUCAAACACAGACGAAUCCAGGUGUAUACUCACAAAUUUUAAACCUGAUAAUCAAAGGUGUUUAACCCUUGGUAGGCUUCAGGAUGUUGAUUGAAAAUGAAAUGGACCCAGACUUAAAUGGUUCACCCCACAAAACUAAGGUUCAUUCAUAAUGUUGCAUGAAUUCUAUGAAGGAGAAUAUUUGAUAAACUAAGUUCAUUGAGCAACACAAUACAUACAUUUAACAAUUAAAUGGUGGAAGCAUGCUUGUAUGCACUUUAAAACAAAACUUAAACUACGAAAUUCAAAGCCUAGUAGUAGAGGUGAACCAAGACUUAACUUUAAACACAAAGAGAGUUUAGAAACAUUAUACCUUUGAACACAAUGAGUGACAAUGGAAGAACAAAAUGCUAUCAAUGUUCUCCAUGGUGGCUAGCCUAUCUAAGGAAGGAGAUAGUUUGUGUUUCUCCCUCUUUGCCUCAUAGAAAAUCCUAAUGAGGGAUGGAGUUACAAAGUUACCUUUAUACCUCAUUCUAAGUGAUUAGCAAACUUGUAAUAAGUAAACCAUCACUCCUUUUCGCUUUGGCUAGUUUAUGUAGUUAUGUUUGUUAAUUCUCAUUUUGUUUUAGUUGUCAUAGAACUUAACUCAAUGGGUCUUGUGGACCAAAACUCAUUUUGGGUCCUAAAACAUGAAACUUAUUUAAAGCCUGAUUUGAACAUUUCGCAUGAUUAAUUAAUAUAUUAAUUAAUCUUUGUCAUAUACAAUUAAACUAUUUAAUUGUCCUUACUUAUCUUCAUUAUAUUCGUCAAUUAUUACCCUACACAAUGUGCGACCCAUUUGGUUCCUUUUAGCGAGACAGUGGGCAAUUAGAACUCUUAGUCUUUUACUAGUUGAUUGUGAAUUGAAACUUACAUUCAAUUCUCCUUUUAGUGAUUAUACAUCUUCAAGGCUUCCACAAACCAUGAGCAACACCUAGCAGCAUGUUAUGGCUACUCAAGCUAAUCAAAAGAGGUUGGAGAACCUAUUCAGUUUCGUAUUACAAUGCAAUAUGGUCUUUCAACGGUUUAAAGGGUAGAAAUCCUUUGUUGCACCUUUGUUGCACAUUCACACGUCUCCAUGAUUAAGUGGUUUAGCCCUAACUAUGCAUGGACAAUAUCUAAUGGAGUGCCUUUAACAUAGUCAGAGAUUAAAGACCUAACCACAAGACAACUAUGAUGUCUCAAGUCAAAGGACUACUUUGCAUUAUUUCAAUUAUGAGUUCUCAUGCGACAUGAGUAUGAGAACUCCUUGUCGAUCACAUUCAGUGGAUGCACUCUUUAUUAAGCACCUACAUACUUGUCUUAGUGUCAUUCACACCAAUGACUCGAGACCAGUCACUCUCCUCGAGAGAAGACAUAAUAUGUACUAAUCUACAAGAAUCAUUAAUGCUAUAUUAGCAAUCCUAUGAUCAAGAACAUUUAGGAUAUGUGUAUGAAAUAGAAUGGUCUGGUGAAUCUUAAUUCUUUAGAUCAUUCUCCUAACUACAUAUUCCUUGGAGUUAUCGUUUAAGCGUAUAACAUUUAAUAGGACGGCUUUAAACCAUAAUCUUUACCUUUACACUGAACUAAUUUAGUUUAACAUGUGAAAUUUCUGUAAAGUAUCAUCUUACGAUUGAGUUAGGCAUAUUCCCAACAUUUUAUUGAUUAGCGGUAAGCUAAUACAUCAAUUUCUCUUUCUCAAAUCGUCUGACCUCAAUAUUGAGGGUUGCAACCCCUUUAUAUAGGCUUUUAGCGAACCCCUGUCCCUUGGGCUCUCCCUAACGAGCAUUUAAUGCACCACUCUUUGUAGGCUUGACCCCUGACACCUUUUCGCCAGCUAGCUUGGCAUUCGACGACAAAGAUAUGGGUAUCCAGUCCAGUGCACUCCUGCCCAAAAUAAAGUAGUCCAUUUCUCUGAGUCGGCCUCGGUUAUUCAGCCUAAUUUGUCCGAACGCCACUCCGACAUACUUUGUGUCCCAUCCGGGUCCUCGCCUUUUGACUUCAAGUCAUCCAUUAGUUUGAAUGACAUAUGAGCAGACCUUUUCACGAGGACUUGUGCAUCAAAGUUGUCAGUCUACCCAUAUGCUUUCAUCGGUCAGUGUUCAAUGUAAAUGUCAAUCGGUUGGCAUUGAAGCACUCGGGCAUGUUCUAUUCCAAGCUUGCCAGCCCUUGGGCCCAUUCCCAAUUUGGUACUUCUUUAUGGUUCUUAAAGUGCCCAUCAUUAACAAGGUACUCAAUAGAGAAUGAGUUCAUUAAACACGAUCAAACAUGACUUCACGUACUCAUGUCAUAUGAGAACUGACUAGUUAGAUAAUGCAAAGUAGUCAUUUGAUAUGAGAUUCCACAAUUGUCUUGUGGAUACGUCGUUGAGCAUUGGAUGAUGCAUCACAACCUUAUGGUUUGUCCACACAUUGUUCGGAUAACUGAUUUAUCCACAGAGGCAUGUAAGUGUACCAAAAGGGAUCUCUAGUCUUAAAACGAUUGAAGGAUAAUACUUUAUGAUAUGAUUCAAAGGUCUCUCGGCAGAGUACAUGAAAUGAUUAUAAAGUACAUUCCAAAUCACAUUCACAAUAAUCAUAUAGACAAGACAAUCACAUUGGACGAUAGACAUAAAUAAACUAUCAACCAAGCAAUGUGAUCAAGACAAUUGAUAUAGAGAAUGAUCAUAUUGCGUUGUAAUUCCAAGCUGAAUACAUUCUCCACCUCUUCUACUUAGCUUGUGUAGCCAUGACAUACUACUAGGUGUCACUUUUGGCUUGUGGAAGCCUUGAAUAUUAGCAAUCACUAAUCAUAAUCAAAGGAAAAAUUGAAAGACAGUUUUAAUUCACAAUCGAUUAGUAAGAGUUCUAAUUGCUCACUACCUCGCUAAUUAGAACCUAAUGGACGUUCACCGUGUAAGGUAGAAACUGAAGAAUACAACGUAGUUGAUUAAGAACAAUUAAGUAGUUUAAUUGUUUAUGAUGAGAUUAAUUAAUAUGUUAAUUAAUCGAACAUAUAAGUUCUAAAUAGGCCUAAGGUUAGUUUCAGGUUUCAUGGCCCAUUGGGAUUAAUUUGCUAAUUUGAUCCAAAUCACAAAUGGCCUAAAGGACCAAGGAUUGUCCAAAACCAGCCAUAAAGAAAAGGAUAAGGUGUUCACAUAUAUGUGAGCCCUAUAUAAGAGACUUCAUACUUCCGUCCUCACUUUGGGUUUUAUGUGAGAAAAGAGAGAUCGAGAGAAAACAAACCACUCGUCCCCUACACCAUAGCCAGCCACAUAGGAGGAAGAUUGCUUGCACUAUAUCUUCCUUCCAUGUCACUCAUCUCUUCUUUACAUCCUACUUUGGUGUGGAGACUUAGAGGCUUCCUUUCUUGGAAACUUUGGAGAUUCCUAUUUCACCAUCCAAAUCCAAGAAGCCAGAGUUCCAAAGGAGCAAAGGAGAGCAAAUGAAUGAAGACCAUCACUUGGGGGCAAUAGCCUUUGCAAAUGCAAACAGGAUCUACAAAGUUGUAAUGGUUUUUAGCUCUCUUGUGAAUUUGAGUUGAGUCAAGGUUCACCACACUACUAAGCUUUGAAUUUUAUGAGUAAAAUUUGUUUUUGAAUGCAUAUGAGUUAGCUUUCGCCUUUUAAUUGUUAAUUAUGCUAUGUAUGUUGCUCAAAUAAUCUUAGUUUAGCUAAUUUUUUUUCUUUCAUACACGCGCUCCACGUCACCUCAUUCGCAUCCAUGUGUUUGGUUUGAAAUUUCGUCACUCGUGAAAGAGCGUGUUAAGUAUGAAUUCCACUUUAGUGAGAGAAAUGACCUUACAUGAGCUUAUAACAAAUAAAUAGAAAACUAUAUUUUAAUCCCUAAUAAGAUGAAGUUUAGAUUAGUUCCUGGUAUAAGAUUCAAAAUUAAGUUUAGUCCCUAUAGGUUCUAGUUUGAAAUUUCAUGAUUUUUCUUUUUCAAAGUUUACACUAAUUCAUUAUAAUAAAAAUUCAGAAUAAUAAUUUGAAAAAUGUGAAAAGAAUACAAACGCAUGUGGUUGCAUCCUUUACGCUUACAUGAUGGUUAUAUUGUCAUUUAGAUUUUUAAAACUCUCCAAACCCUCAUAAAUAGUGUUUAUUGUUGUGUGCAAAAUUAAUGUAGAAGUGUGAAAAAUGUAAAAACAUAUACAAUCAACUCCGAAAUUCAACCAUAAUCCAUAAUCUCUUAUAUUUAACCGUCGAUUGUUGUUUACACUAUAUUCUUCUCACUAUAUUUCAUUUUUCAGAUUUUAUCUUUUGUAAACAUGAUCUUUUAAUGAAUGUAUAAAAAUGAAUGGUCGGACUGUUGAUAUCACGUUCCGAUGUUUAUGAUGAAUUAAAUAUGAGUCGAUGUUAUAUACUUUCUAGAGACUUUAUAACCUCCGAGCAAUAUUUUUACUAACCUUAAAAAUGUGAAUGUGAUAUCAACGAUCCGAACCGAUCAUCUUUUUGCAUCCGCUAAAGGAUCAUGUUUUAAAAAAAAAUUUGAAAAAACAAAAUUCGGUAAGAAGAAUGAGCGUAAGUGUAAAUUACAAUCAACUGUUAAAUUUAAAUCUAUGGUUUAUGGGAUUAUGGUGGCGAAUUUCGGAGUUGACAUCUUCAAAAAGUUGUAGAGCUUCUCAUUACGAGCAUUGUAUAUACUUUUUAUAUUUUCUUCACACGUCUACAUUAACUAAAAUCCCAAGAGACAUUCUUUGGAGGAUUUUAGAGAAGAAAGGAGUACGAGUAGCAUAUAUCCAAGCUAUAAAGGAUAUGUAUGAAGGAGCAAAGACUGCCGUAAGAACUCAUGAAGGACAAACCGAAAGCUUUCCCAUAACUGUAGGAUUACAUCAAGGCUCAUCCUUAAGUCCUUACCUUUUUGCGUUGGUAAUGGAUGAGUUAACAGGACAUAUUCAAGAUGAUAUUCCUUGGUGUAUGCUUUUCGCAGACGAUAUAGUGUUGAUAGAUGAAACUCAGGAAGGGGUAAAUGCAAAGCUUAACCUUUGGAGAGAAGUGUUGGAAUCUAAAGGUCUUCGCCUAAGCCGAUCAAAGACAGAAUAUAUGGAGUGCAAGUUCAGUGCAAAUGGAGGCCAAAACGAGUUAGGGGUGAGGAUCGGAGAUCAAGAAAUACCAAAGAGCGACCGUUUUCGUUACCUAGGAUCUAUCUUGCAAAAGAACGGAGAAUUAGAUGGAGAUCUCAACCAUAGAAUACAAGCUGGAUGGAUGAAGUGGAAGAGUGCAUCCGGCGUGUUGUGUGACCGCCGUAUGCCACUGAAGCUCAAGGGAAAAUUUUAUAGGACGGCAAUAAGGCCGGCGAUGCUGUAUGGCACAGAAUGUUGGGCGGUGAAACAUCAACACGUACACAAAAUGGGUGUAGCGGAGAUGAGGAUGCUUCGUUGGAUGUGUGGGCACACGAGAAAGGAUAAGAUUAGGAAUGAGGAUAUCCGGGGUAAAGUAGGAGUAGCCGAAAUUGAAGGAAAGAUGAGAGAAAAUCGGUUACGGUGGUUUGGACAUGUGCAAAGAAGGCCUACUGACGCUCCGAUUAGAAGAUGCGACUAUGGGACAGAGGUUCAGGGCCGAAGGGGUAGAGGAAGACCUAGGAAAACUUUGGAAGAGACUCUAAGAAAAGACUUAGAGUACUUGGAUCUAACGAAGGACAUGACACAGGAUCGAGCACAAUGGCGUUCUAAGAUUCAUAUAGCCGAUCCCACUCAGUGACUUGGAUUUUCCAAGUCUCCAACCGAGAAGUUUUCCUCACUCGGGAAAUUAAGGGAACACUACCCCAACCUACAUGCUCCACUCAGAAAGCUUCAACAUACAAGCUUCAACAAAAGAAAAUUCAAAGAACUUAGCGAAGAAGGCUUUGGUGUAUUUAACACAAUACGUUGAAAUGAAGGAAAAAGCUUAUUUAUUGAUAUCCCCGAUAAGCUACAAAUAUGUACAUAUACAUGAGUCAAAAUAAACACACAAGAGGGAGCCUUCACAAAGGUUGCUUAGGAGAAGUCUCAGCAGUCGGUAGAGCCCCAGAAAGAGAAGGCACCGGAGGGGGAUCAUUUGGAGCCUCAGUACUGGACAGAACCCUAGAAGGAGGAGGCAUCAGAGGUUGAUCAUUUGGAGCUUCAUUACGCGGUACAGCCCCAGAAGACGAAGGCAAUAAAUGCCUUUGGAACAAACCCACAAAUCUCUGAUGAUCAAGUAAAACCUGACCAUCAGUUUCCUUCAUCUGGUCAAGCUUCCUCUUCAUGUUUGUAGCAUAGUCAUGUGCGAGCCGGUGCAACUGUUUAUUCUCAUGCUUGAGCCCUCUAAUCUCCUGUUUGAGACUCAUCACUUCAGCCGCCAAUGAUUCAACUUGGCGGGUUCGAGCAAAUAGGCGUUGGGCCAUAUUAGACACAGAACCUGCACACUGAACACUGAGAGCCAGCGAAUCCUUAACAGCUAACUCAUCAGACCGUUUGGAAAGUAGUCUGUUAUCUUUGGGAGUGAGAAGGUUCCUGGCCACCACCGCAGCGGUCAUAUCAUUCUUCAUCACGGAAUCCCCAACGGUAAGAGGACCAGUAGGGGAGACGAAGGAUGGGCGCCAUAUGUUGUCUGGAGAAGGCGGGGCUGCCUCUUCAACAAGGUUCAAGUCAAAACGACGGUCGGAGGGGCCAGACAUUUUCAAAGGUGUUGAAGAGAGAAGAGGUCGGACAAAUCAAGAUCUUAGAAGUGCAAGAAUGAAGCUUCUACUGGUGGAGAUUCAAGUGUGCUUUGGAACUUAAUGCCAGCCCCUAUAAAAAUCUGCACUCGACGGAGCUUCAGAAAUCGAAGAGGCGCCUGCUCAGAAAUCGAAGAGGCGUUUGCUUUCUCAAAAGCUGGGCUGCUUAGAGAUCACGAGGGUUGAUCUCAGAAAUCGAAGAGGCGUUUGCUUUCUCAAAAGUUGGGCUGCUCAAAGACCACGAAGGCCGAUCUCAGAAAUCGAAGAGGCGCUCGCUUUCUCAAAAGCUGGGCUCCCCAGAGACCACGAGGGCCGAUCUCAGAAAUCGAAGAGGCACCUACUUUUUCCAGCCUUGUCAGCACCUGUCACACGCACACUCAGCUUUGCGGAAAUUAUGGGCAUUCUGUCAAAGACUUCUGGGGAAGUAGAAAACACAUGAAUCUUACUGUUCAAUCACCCACUUCCCACACGCAACAAUAGCUCAUGGGUACCACAGAUAACUUUGCCAAAGUUCUCUGCCAAAGUUGAGCACGUGAAGCUUGCAGCUCCCACUACAUCGCUCUGACCAAGAAGGGUAAAAGAAUAGCAAAGAAACAGCACUAACAAAGUUUAGACCCAUAAAUUUUGAAGGUCUAGCUACCAUAUUAUUACCCACAAGGGUAAAGGAACAGUACCACUGCUGGAUAAUUGGAAAGUCCCUGUGUGUCAACCUCUGUGCUUCGUGGCAAGGUAGACUAGCAAACAUGCCCAACCUUUACUCACAUUCGAGAAAACACUCCCAAUAAGAUUGCUUGCUCCAAAAUCGAAGAGGCACCGUCCUCCGAAUCUCGAGAGCCAGACUCCCAACAUGACUACUUUCUUAAAAAUCGAAGAGAGGGUAAAGGAACAGUACCAUUGCUGGAUAAUUGGAAAGUCCCUGUGUGUCAACCUCUGUGCUUCGUGGCAAGGUAGACUAGCAAACAUGCCCAACCUUUACUCACAUUCGAGAAAAACACUCCCAACAAGAUUGCUUGCUCCAAAAUCGAAGAGGCACCGCCCUCCGAAUCUCGAGAGCCAGACUCUCCCAACAUGAUUACUUUCUCAAAAAUCGAAGAGACACUGCUCCCCGAAUCUCGAGAGCCAGACCCCCAGCAUGAUUGCUUUCUCAAAAAUCGAUGAGGCAUCGUUCUCCGAAUCAAUCGAAGAGGCGCUCGCUUUCUCAAAAGCUGGGCUGCUCAGAGACCACGAGGGCCGAUCUCAGAAAUCGAAGAGGCACCUACUUUUCUAGCCUUGUCAGCACCUGUCACACGCACACUCAGCUUUGCAGAAAUUAUGGGCAUUCUGUCGAAGACUUCUGGUGAAGUAGAAAGCACAUGAAUCUUACUGUUCAAUCACCCACUUCCCACACGCAACAAUAGCUCAUGGGUACCACAGAUAACUUUGCCAAAGUUCUCUGCCAAAGUUGAGCACGUGAAGCUUGCAGCUCCCACUACAUCGCUCUGACCAAGAAAGGUAAAAGAAUAGCAAAGAAACAGCACUAACAAAGUUUAGACACAUAAAUUUUGAAGGUCUAGCUACCAUAUUAUUACCCACAAGGGUAAAGGAACAGUACCACUGCUGGAUAAUUGGAAAGUCCCUGUGUGUCAACCUCUGUGCUUCGUGGCAAGGUAGACUAGCAAACAUGCCCAACCUUUACUCACAUUCGAGAAAACACUCCCAACAAGAUUGCUUGCUCCAAAAUCGAAGAGGCACCGUCCUCCGAAUCUCGAGAGCCAGACUCCCAACAUGACUACUUUCUCAAAAUCGAAGAGAGGGUAAAGGAACAGUACCAUUGCUGGAUAAUUGGAAAGUCCCUGUGUGUCAACCUUUGUGCUUCGUGGCAAGGUAGACUAGCAAACAUGCCCAACCUUUACUCACAUUCGAGACAACACUCCCAACAAGAUUGCUUGCUCCAAAAUCGAAGAGGCACCGCCCUCCGAAUCUCGAGAGCCAGACUCCCAACAUGAUUACUUCCUCAAAAAUCGAAGAGACACUGCUCUCCGAAUCUCGAGAGUCCAGACCCCCAGCAUGAUUGCUUUCUCAAAAAUCGAAGAGGCAUCGUUCUCCGAAUCUCGAGAGCCAGAUACCACAGACCACUUUUUCAAAGUGCUCUGACAGAGUUAAAACAUGUGAAACUGGCAGCUCCCACUACCGUGCUAUGACCAAGCAGGGUAAAGGAAUAGCAUUACUACUUGUUGUUAGGGAGACUCCUAUAUAUGUCGACCUCCAUCCCCAACGGACAGGCAGACCUGCAAAAAUGCUCAACCCUUCAUCAUAUCUGAGAGGGCACUCCCAACGAAGCCUUUCGAAAUAUUCAGCUUUCUUUCCCCCCGAUAAUACCUCUGCAAACAAGCUAUACUAGAGCAAGAAUAUCUCAUAUCAUCAGGGUUAAAAGCAAGAGUAUCCCAUAUCAUGCUUUUUCCCUGUCUUUUCUUUUGGCCUUGUUUUUACCUGCAAGACAAGGAGAAAGAGAGCAAUCAGUCAGCACUUGGAAUCAAGCUUCCAGCCAGGAACUGACUGCCUGGAACCCCUUACCUGAUUACUUACCUGGCAUUGCUCUCGAGUACUCAUCUUCAACAUCUUAUGUUUCCAGGGAAGAUUCCGCAUCUGCUUGAGGAACAGAUAGGGCAAGUGCGAAGGAUACAAGGAAGCAUGUGGAGACAAGCGUAACAGCACACGUGCCGAUACAUCCAUUACUCUGUCAAAAGCAAAAGUAUCCCAUAUCAGCAGGGUGGAACGUACUCUAGAUUUGAUGGACUUGUUUUGACCCUCAAAUUCUUCAGUCGGCCUUAUACUCUGGAGGAAACCAGAAAACCCUCCAGCUCAGUUCAAGAAUAAGCCUGUGGAAAGUUACUUCUUCAAAAGCAAAAGUAUCUCAUAUCAUCUCUUCUCAUUUUUCUUCUCUUUAUCCUUCAUGCUGCUGCAAGAUGGGGAGAAGGUGAACAAUCAGUCGGAGCUCUGAUUGCUUACCUUGUCUGUCACCUCUUUCAGCAGACCCCCUAGCUCGGCGACUUGGGGGACUCCUACUACAUGGUUUGUAUCGCGCUUGACCAAGCCUGAAACUACAAGUAAGCUUCAAGUGAAAUUGAUACAUUACCUUGUGCAUCUCCACCAGUUAAAGAUACCACCCCUGGAUGGAGGAAGAGUACUUCCAGAGAAGAUGCCACAUCUACCUAUGAGACAGAUAAGGCAAGUCAAGACGACACCACACUCCGAUACUUAGAAGUUUCGUGAUUACGAGAUCAUUCUCCCACAAUAUUUCCUAAUGUCAUUUGUACUAAAUCAUUCACUUGUACUCACUAAAGGAGAGCUUGAACCUAUGUACUUGUGUAAACCCUUCACAAUUAAUGAGAACUCUUCUAUUCCGUGGACGUAGCCAAUCUGGGUGAACCACGUACAUCUUGUGUUUGCUUUCCUAUCUCUAUCCAUUUAUAUACUUAUCCACACUAAUGACCGGAGCAAUCUAGCGAAGAUCACAAAAAGCGACCGUUUUCGCUACCUAGGAUCUAUCUUGCAAGAGAACGGAGAAUUAGAUGGAGAUCUCAACCAUAGAAUACGAGCUGGAUGGAUGGAAAGAGUGCAUCCGGCGUGUUGUGUGACCGUCGUAGGCCACUGAAGCUCAAGGGAAAAUUUUAUAGGACGGCAAUAAGGCCAGCGAUGUUGUAUGGCACAGAAUGUUGGGUGGUGAAGCAUCAACACGUACACAAAAUGGGUGUAGCGGAGAUGAGGAUGCUUCGUGGGAUGUGUGGGCACACGAGAAAGGAUAAGAUUGGGAAUGAGGAUAUCCGAGGUAAAGUAGGAGUAGCCGAAAUUGUAGGAAAGAUGAGAGAAAAUCGGCUCCGGUGAUUUGGACAUGUGCAAAGAAGGCCGACUGACGCUCCGGUUCGAAGAUGUGACUACGGGACAGAGGUUCAGGGCCGAAGGGGUAGAGGAAGACCUAGGAAAACUUUGGAAGAGACUCUAAGAAAAGGCUUAGAGUACUUGGAUCUAACGGAGGACAUGACACAAAACCGAGCGCAAUGGCGUUCUAGGAUUCAUAUAGCCGACCCCACUUAGUGGGAAAAGGCUUUGUUGUUGUUGUUGUUGUUGUUGUCAAAUAAAAUCUACCAAGUGUUUUCCUAGGUUAGAUGCAUGAAACCAAGAAGUUGAUUAAUUUUCCUUGCAUCCUUGGAAGUGACUCCCCCCUUCGAUAAUGAAAAAUGUUGAUCAUUUGCCCUACAACUAAUAAUCGGAUAAAAGUUCCUUUACAAGACAAAAUUUUAUUCGUCGAGUAAAAAAUUGUAGGAAAAAUUAUAUUUUUUGGCUGUGACACUCUUUGUAGUUUUCUCAAACUCACUAUAAUGGCCAAUUCCUAACAUGUUCACCACGAGAGCUUGGAUCCCAUGGCACGAUAAUUCUAGUCUAGUUGACUUUAUUUGCUCUCAAAUAUAUUGUUCUUGUCUCAUUCAGUGGGGUAUAUGUCCAUUCUGUCCCCACAAAUUGUACAACGGUUAAAUGUAAUUUUGUAUUGUAGUUAAAAAAAUGUGUUACUUAAUAUUACGGUUUGGAGGUUAUUUUUUUUUUUUUAAAAUUUUUUAUAAGUGAAAGGUCUUAAGUUUGAUUUUUGCUUUGAACCACAUUAUUGUUAGCACAUUAUAAGACUAAACCCAUCCCCUCCCCUUUAAUGUAGAUAAUAUCAUUUUUAGAAAAAAAAAAUGAAUAUAGUGUUAUUAAAUUUUCUUUGAGAAUAUUUUUUUGUAUUGUCUAGUAAACAUGAUUUUGAGGAAGACCAUUCUAAUAUUGAUGAAAAAGGUUAAGUUACAUCAUACAUUGCUUCUUUUGGUUUAUACUUAAUUCUCUUUUCUGCUGGUUCCAUGGCCUAUUUUCUUGGCACGCUGGCACAGUUAUAUUGGAAAAUAAUUCUGUAGGUAACGUGUCCCAUUAUGAUGAGUUAUUGAGCAAUAGAGUAACUAUAGGUUUUUGUUAUAGUAGGAAUAAGAUAAAGAACACAUCUGUUGUUAACUUUCUUUUGUAAGUUCUUCCAAUUUUUAUUUUUAUUUUUGAAUAAACAAUAUUAUUUACACUAAUGUGGUGGUAUAGCUGGCUAAGUCUCAAAAUAGGCUAGCAAUAAUGUAAUUCAAAUUUGCCUUUGGUAAGAUUUUAACCUAAAAAUUCGGUUUUAAUUUCACACCUUAUCUAUCUAUGUCAUUUCCCCAUAUCCUUAUCAGUAAGCAUGUGUGUUGACCUUAAAAACUACUUAGCCUAUGUGGCGUUUAGGCCAAGUAAUUAAUAAGCUACCUAAGUCCUUUAGUCGAAUGCCGGGCGUACCAACUCGUCGGUUGAGUUCGGCCAGGGAGUAAAAUGAAUGUGGUUUGGCCUUAGUAAUUAUAUUUGUAAGAAUAUAAGUACGUCGAACUGGUACCAGACUAUAUGGACACAAAUACUCAAAAGAGAUAAGUGUCUUGAUUGUAAAUGUGGUUUGGCCGUCAAAAUAAGCCGAACUCUAAAAUGUAUUUGUGAAUUUCUAAUCAUAAAAUAAACUCCGCUUUCAAUGUGUCGAGCCUGGUAACACCUCACUUCGCCGAGAAGGCUGAUGAGAUGACCUCUUCCAACAAGGAUUUGGAAAUCGUUGCUGGCCGAGACUUGGAUAGGUAAUCAGUUGGUUUCAAAGCAGUACUGUUUAUCCAAACUGAAGGUGCUCCACGGUCAGCUGAUUCUACAACUCCAGUGUUAUUUAUCCAAAUUGAAGAUGUUGUUGGUUGCCUUCACAGGGCUAUUUAUCCAAACUAAAGAUGUGUUGGCGGAAAAAAGAAAAUAAAAAUCUCAAGGUGUUUGAGAUGUUUGCGCAGGGUAGUUGUGUGUUGAAUUGGAGGGGCUUUGAAUGAUGACUCCCCUAUCUAUUUAUAGUAGUGAUUUCCUCUAUGGCCUAGGUAGAAUUUCACUCAAACUAGAAUUCCUCAACCCAAUUUGAUUAGGUCUCGACCAAUCCUAACCCCUAUAGAAUCCGAACCAAGCUCUUCAAUCACUUAGAUUCAUCCUUUGACCCAAUCUAAUUAGGUCUCGACCAAUCCUAACCCCUAUAGAAUCCGAACCAAGCUCUUCAAUCACUUAGAUUCGUCCUUUGAUUCUCAGCAUCUUUUCUGACUCAAAGCAUCCUUACCUUCUAAAGAAUCCUUAUUGCACUACGAUUCGACCACUUCAACCUUAUCCAGGCCAAACCAUUUCCUGAUAGGAUUUUGCCGAACUCCACAAGACUCUGCCCAUGGCAAAGAAUAUUCCUAAUAUUCUUCCAUGGGCCAAGAACAAUUCUAAGCUCGACCCAAAGUGUUAUUUUGGAUACAAACAUUGCCUCCUUGCUUCUGAGGUAUUUGACCUACCAUAUCCGACCGAACUUCGACCUUGAAGAAGCGAUCCAUUAUUAACCAAGAAAUAAACCCUUGGCCUACGCUUAGUGGUUGAUCAAAAGAUCAUUGCAAAAAUGAAUAUUCCCCAUCCACUAAGAUACAUCUAUCACACAUGAUCUCCCAUUAUAUGUCAGUCCUUGAUAAUCGCAAAGGUUUGACACGCGGCGCCUUCUUGUCGCAACUGUCUAGAUUCGGCAACAUGCGCACCUCACGCCCAAGGCUUGUAGACAUUGAAAUGUCUUUUUAUAAUGAUCAUGCCCUAAAGUUCGUCGCCAUACGCAAUCGUGCAAUCCCGAUUUGAGUAUUUUUCAUCCCUUUAGCCUGGAUUUUUUAUUUUCGUAAUGAUUGUAAAACUAUUUCGACCAAAUUUACCCCUUAUGCUUUGAAUUUGAGACCAUUGAUCUUCUUCCUAAUCUGCCUAUAAAUACCAUUUCAGGCUUCAUUCUUCAUUUACGCUUUCAAAACUCUAAAUUCUCACACUUUACUUCUGAUGAUUUGACACCCAAGAAAAGAACCAACCUUUGAAACCCAGAAAAACUCUAAACUCUUGCUUCAAUGGCUGCUAAUACCUUUAUCACGAAACUUGUCGAAGAAUGGGACAAAUGUCACGAUUUCAUCGAUUAGAAUGCCAUCGAAACCCUCCGAUUUGAAGAAGAUUCAGUUACCUCUCACCAGAUCUUGGGUCAUUUGUUUAAGGACAAUGUCUUAUAGGUCAUCACUGAAAUGCUGAAGGACCACUGCCUGAGUUCUUUAUUUCAAGGAUAUGAUUGGUUGAAAUAGGAAUCAGCCAAACCUCAAGGAGCCUGGUCAUCGACUCUUGCAGCCUAGGUUGCUUGGGUUAGCUAAAUGGAACCACACUUCGGCGACAACUGGAAGUCACUUGGCAUCUUUGACACCAUUAAGAUCUUGACCAUUUAGGUCAGCAUGGACUGAUAACUCCUGUUGGUUGCUAUGAGCUUCUGGUGCUCAGCCACAAACAUCAUGGUGCUUCCUUUUGACCUCAUUGGUCCAACAGUUCUAGACAUGAGGACUAUCCUUGGCACCUUACCAUCUGGUCUUCUAGUCGAUACCACACUCUUUCAGUAUCAAUUUGACUUAAAUUUAAAAACAGUCUUUGACGAGCGCAUUUUCGAAGUUUUGAAAAAAGAUAACCAAGGGGUAGUAUUAAAAGACGAAAUAAACAAGCUACACAAGAAUUUCUGCACAUGAGGCCUUCUUGUUCUAUUGGUACAACAAGUUCAUCUUUUGUACCAAGUCGAACAAAUGCCUCACCGAAAUAUGCCAGUGGCUAAAGCCUUCGUUAUAGGUCACACUCUGGCCCUUAGCCCCGCCAUCCUUGCUAACCUUAAGCGCUGCUUGGCCGAGGCAACUGUUGGAAAAAUUGACCCGCACCAGAAUAACCCACACUAGGUAUUUCAACUUUAGCUGCAAGUCUAGUUUCCCAUCCUGAGGCUAUAGAACUUCAACUUCAACUCAUUUGAAGCAAUGGGUCUUCAACUGGCUUCACGUCCAAACCUGACUUACUUAGUUGAAGAAAUUUUCAAAUAUUUCUUUGGCAUAGAUGACCUUACCAAUGAUGAAUUCCUGAUCUAUCAUCGAAAAAAUUAUCCAUCAUCCAUCAAGCUUCCUACAUCCGCAUAGGAAGAAACAAAAGUCACCGAUCUUCGGUGAACCUAGGGAUCAUUCAUGCUAGCUCGAGACCUUCCUUUCGGUUGUGACGUUUGGCAGGCCAGUUGGGAAGUCUACCAUCCCCAUUUUGUGGCUCGACAACUAGCCUAUCUCUAGGGGUGUCAUGCGCUUUUGCUCACUACUAGCUCGUUUUUUAGUCGAGAACGACUUUCUUGCUCUUUUAAAAAGGAAUGUGAGGAAGUAGGGCAAGAGUUUCAAGAAUGGUGCACUAAAUUCUACCUCUAGUCGAAUACCUGUGAAACCUAUGGUGCCAGUACCUUUGCUGACUGGUGGGAAAUCUACACCAAAGAUUUCUUUGGCACAUCAGUCGAAGAAAUCAAAAACAAAAUCUUUGGUGAUCGACCAAAGAAAACUCUUACUCCAAAAUCCAAAGAUACGGCUCAAGGUACUUUUAUUUUGUUUUGCUUAUAUAUAUACUUGACCAAACAUCUUCGUCGUGACUCUCAAUUAGUUUGUCCAAGUGGCUGCUCGAUAAAAUGGGCCGAAGUAGUCGCGAUGGUAGAGUCUAGAAAAAAGAUCGCCCCUCCAUUGAAGAAGGCCAUUACUGUUAUAGCCUCUUCUCCCAAGAUGACUUCGACCUCUCCAACUCUAGCGGACGUUGCUGCUGUAUUGACAGCGGUGGCAAACGACUUCAUCCUUUGGCCGAGAUAACUGAUGAAGUUGCUCGACCCAUGAAACAAAUAAAGAAGAGAGCAAAGAAAGGGGAGCGUGAGAUCCUUGUCAUUUCCAGCCAGGAAACACGAACUUUAACUCCUGACGCUCCUUAUCCUACCCUUGGUGUUAAGGUCCCAAUAGGGAUACCUCAAAAUUCCUCGACCCCAAAUGUUAAUCAGGAGGUCACAAUUUAACCCAUGGUACAGACUACUACUGUGGCUGAACAAGUCGUUACCCUAGUGGCCGAGGAGUUUGCGGUCCAAGCCUCGACCAUCCCUUUUGUCAAGGACGUCAGCCCAACAACUGCUUUUUUUUAAAGAGGCGACCACAAUUUUGGUUGAAGUGAUUCACUCUCCUAAUCCAAAAAUUAUUCUGGUGUCGAAUAUUCCAGAAGGCGUAUGGAGUUUUCAAAGCUUCUCUUUCCUUAAACAUCUUCGAUUAGUAUUUAAUCAUUUUUUGUUACCAAGAAAACAACAGUGAGCCGAUCCAUUGAUGAGGCGUUUUUUAUCGGCUAAGCAAACAAAUAAGGUACUCCUGCCUUUGGAUAAAAGCAAAUGUGUCAUAUCUUCCAUGCCUAAUCCAGACCCGGAUAUCCAACUACUAGUUGAGGCGGUCGUUGAGAGGCUAGCCAUGGAGCCGGUGGCUUCUGCAAGGGAAGAAGCGACCGCGAAGAUGCCAGUUUAUCCUUAAAACCAGGAUCUCGAUAUCCCCGCACAAGAUGUCACCUCGGCAUUUGUAAGUUCUUCAUUUUGAUUCUAAAUUUUAUCUUGGAAUGCUAAACCAAAAUAAAACUGUCAACUGUCAAGAGCCCAGUUGAUCGUUUCAUCAAAAAUUUAUGCGCUGAAGGGGCCUUAUCUCUAUUUCAUAGCCGCCUAGGUGGCUAUCGAACAUAUAUAACCUUCAUCGACUAUAUGAAUUGAAGAGUUGUCUUAAACAUUGGGCUCGGCCAUUAAGUUCUUUUGGUUCGAGCAACAGCCCAGAAGAUAUGGCCGAAGUCACUUCUCGAUAGAUCUAAAAUAACUUCUUCUGUCAUGUUUUCCUUUAGAUUCUGCUUAUCUAACCUUUCUUUUUGUGCAGCCUUUAUAGGAAGUUGAGCUCGACGCCUAUUUUGCCAGCAGAUUCGGGGUAGCUAGUCAUUUUGUAGCCUCGGUCGAGUCCAACGCUUUGGCCAAACAGACUAUGUCCAUCUCAGCCAUGUAAGCUCUUGAAAACAAAGGCCUUGACUCUGUGCGAGAGUGCUUGAACAACUACAGCCGAUGGUUUGGUGAGCAAUGAAAACGUUGUUCACCUAACGACCAUUUUGGAGAAAACUCGGCUAUACUUUGAUAUUUUUUAGAAAGCUCUUCAAGCCAACGAGGACCUGAAGGUUGCAACAGCCACUCAAGAAGCUAUCCUACUAGAGCUCGAGGCACUGAAGGCAAAGGAAGAGAAAAUGGCCAACCUUGAUCGUCAGAUUGUUGAACUUUAAUCUCAAAGGUCUGCCAUUGCCUCUGUGCUUGAAAGGAUCUUUGAGGCAAAUAAACCUCGGCUAGUAAAGUAUGCAGUUGUCAUAAAACGGAUACAAAUGUUGAAGGCUGACAAGAGGACUUGGCAUGCUGAGAUCACUAUGGGUGAAGUAAAAUGGCUGGAGCUAAAAGCCAUACUUGAAGCUUUCAUUCCUUCGACCCCAUAUAUUAUAUUCUUAAUGCUGACUUGUUGGCCAGUUGACUUUUUGUAUACAUAUUUUUUUUAGUCGACUUAAUGAAAUAUUUCUUAUUCUUGCAACUCCUAAUUAACUGGAUAAUAUUUUUUAAGAACUCCCCAUUGAUUGGCAACUUAUAUAUUAUACCAGUUCGAUCAUUGAGAUGGUAUGCCCUAUUUUUGAGAACUUUGUGAACAACAAAUGGUCCUUCCCAAUUUGGCAACCAUUUUCCAAAUCUAGGAUCCUUAAUCCAUACUAACAACACCGUUUGCCAAACUAAAUCACCUUUGCCGAAUGACUUUUUCUUUACUCAUUGAUUAUAAGCUCGCUCAGCAAUCUUUUUCUGUGCUACUAGCAGGUUAUAGGCAUCGAGUCGAGCCUCUUCUAGAUCUUCCAAAUCUUGCAUCAUUACUUGACUAUAUUUGGCGUUGAACAAACUACUUUGUUCAAUAAUUCGCAAUGAGUUUAUACUUAACUCGACCAACAAUUUUGCAUCGUGCCCAUAAGUCAAAGCAUAUAGAGUCAUUGCUAUUGUUGAUCGAAGCGAAGUUUGAUAUGCCCAUAAUGCCUCAUUUAACUUUAAAUGCCACAUACCAGGUCUUUCCUUCACCAUUUUUUCGAGAAUAUUGAUCAAAACCUUGUUGUUUGCUUCAGCUUGCCCAUUCGCCUAUGGGUAAUACGACAUGGACUGUUUGAGUCGAAUCUUUAGACUCACCGUAUAGUCUUUAAACCUAUCGACCAUGAAAAUCGUGCUGUUAUCCGUGAUAAUCAUUUCUGGAAUGCCAAAUCUUGUUACAAUGUUUUCUUCUACGAAAUUGCAAACUUUUUUGGACAUUAAUUCGAUGUACAAUUUCGCUUUGACCCACUUGGUGAAGUAAUCAGUCACUACAAGUAUCCACGUAUGUUUCACUGAUCCAAAUGAUGGUGUUAUUUUGCCAAUUACAUCCAUGGCCCACCCUCUAAACUGCCAUGGUUUAGUGAACGAGUGAAGUAAUUCAGCCGAGAUUCUCUGAAUAGGUCUAUGGAUUUGGCAUUGUAAGCAACUCUAGGCAUAUUCUAUUCAAUCUUUUAAAAUACUAGGCCAGAUUUAUCCGUGUUGGCGGAGUAACCAGCGCAUUUUGCAAUUGGAUUAAUGAGCAUCGCAUAUUCCUUCAUGCACUUCUGUAAUGGCUUGAGCGGCCUUUUCUUAGCCGAGACACAAUAACAAAACACCAUUCUCGCCCUUUCGAUACAACUCAUUUUGAUAUAUUAUAUAAUUUGUGGCAUAUACCUUGUCUUGCGGUCGUGCUUACCACUUAGGUCAUCAAGGUACCGUAUAAUCAAUUUUCUCCAAUCAUCUGGUAAUGUUUCGCACAAAUGUCUACAGGAGCCUCUCGUUCGAGUAAUGAAGGCAAAGACAUAACCUGUGUUCUAAUGACACCGUCCAGUUUAAGAGCUUGUUGAUUAACCAAGGCCGGGUAUAGACGCUGAUCAACUGGUAUAACCCGACCUACCUCACCCCCCAAAAGUUGUGCUCCUGAAGCUAUUUGAGCCAGCUAAUCUACAUUAAUAUUCCGAAUUCAAGAGAUAUGUUUGAACGUGAUUGUAGACAUGUAAAUUUCAUUGCAUACAAAUGAUGCAUCACAAAACUCCACGUGGCAUAUGACUCAUUACAAAUGGACAAGUCAUUAAUGACAUGUGGCGCAAAUCAAGCAAAGGAAGUUAAAAAACAUUCCUAAAAUUUGGCAAAGGGGAAUAAAUCUCCUUAAAAUCGACAAGGGGCCCAAAUUGCUCCCAAAAUCAGAAAGAUAGCUAAAGCAUCUUCACAAAACAUGCAAGAAUUGAAGAUUGCUUGCAAAAUAGGCAAGAAAGCCUUAUAGAUUUUGGCCAGGCAGGGGAAAGUGGCUGAAAUUAAGACACAAAACAUGCCUAAAUUCUCCCAUGGACGAAACAAGACACAAAUAAAAAACGGGAAGAAAUCUCCUUAAAAUCAACAAGGGGCCCAAAUUGCUCCCAAAACCGAAAAGAUAGCUAAAACAUCUUCACAAAACAAGCAAGAACUGAAGAUUGCUUGAAAAAUAGACAAGAAAACCUUAUAGAUUUCGGCCAAGCAAGGGAAAGUGGCUGAAAUUAAGACACAAAACAUGCCUAAUUCUCCCAUGGAUGAAGCAAGACACAAAUCAUGGCGAAAUCUAUCCAAAGGAAUGGCUUUGGAAGUUUAUAAAUACAAGGUCCCCAGACAAGCAUAAGGUGGACAAUUUCUACAUUGAAGGGUCAAAAUUCUCACACAAGGAUAACCUUUGCCAAAUCUUUGAAGACUAAUAUGCUGUCAAAGCUCUUUUUGAAGAAUGUACAACUAAAGCCGAAGCUUUUUUUCGACCAAAGUUGAAGCAUUCCCUUGAAGAAUCAGCAAGCACUUGUGCCAAUUCCUUCAAGACUUUGUUGCAAGCUUAAAACUUGUUACGACGUUCGAUUCAAGAUCAAGUCACCAAGACCCUUGAAUCAACAAAAUCCCACAUCAACAUCACCUUUGCUACAGGUCAUAUGCAAACCUAGACGUAAAGAUUAUCCACGCAUUGUUUCAAGCUCAAAACUUGAACCAAUCGUUUAAUUGUUCAUUCAAGAUCAAGUCAUGGCGACCCUUGGAUCAACAACCUACGCAUCUACAUCAAAUUUGAAGGCUGAAUCAGAGGAAAAUUGUAAACCGAGAUUGUAACCCUACAAAUUCAUCAAUACAAAUAUACUUUGUACACGUGUUCUUGUUUCAUUCGUUACAAAAUUUUCAUGUUUACAAAUUUGGCACGCCCGGUGAGACCUCUCUGCCUUUCAUCUCUAUCUUCAAAUCUACAAGAAAUAUACGAAGAACAAGAACAUCCUUGCCGUAAGUGGAGGCACUUUGGGCGUUACAACCAGAAGCAAGGCAAGAACUCUCUCUGUCGUGUCCUUCACCCCUACAUUAACUCUGUUGGAUGAGCACAAGCACCUGAGGCAUAUGCCCAUGAUCACCCUGGCCUCACUAAGGGCACCAAGGGAAGAAAGCUCGAUGAGGUAUUUCGAGUCGUUGACUUUCGAUGCUGACUCAAGCAGCAGCUCAUAUCCCCUAGCCAUGCAAGUCAUGACUACUAGUGCGACUUCAAUCGAAGAGCAGCUGGCACAAAUAAGCGAAGCAAUUACAAGGUUGACAAUGACCGUGGAGGAAAAAGGAUUUGCAUAUUGCUAUACUUGUCAACCGUCUGGAGGCCUAUCACCAUGAGAAUGCUGACCCUAAGGUUGAUACACCAAAUGAGAAAACUAACGAAAAUGAGGAGCUUCUGAUGGACAAAGCUAAGGAGAAGCUAGAGGUGGAUUGAGCUACAAUGCUUAUGAGAUCUCUCUCUAUCCAACAGCUGCAAAAGAUGAUCACAAGCACGAUCAAGGCACAACAUGAAGGAAGUUUGCAUGAUUCUGUGCUAUACUCAAAGCCAUACUCUAAAAGGAUUGACUCCUUGAAGAUGCCAAUGGGUUAUCAUCCCCCCAAAUUCAUGCAAUUCGAUGGAAAGGGCAAUCCUGAACAACAUAUUGCCCAUUUCAUUAAAACCUGCAACAAUGCUAGAACAUAUGAACCUAAGCAUGCUGGAGUUGACGAGUACAAAAUAGUGGAGGGAUGAACCUACCGUCGAUUACAUCAAUAGGUGGCGUUCAUUAAGUCUGGAUUGCAAAGAUCGGCUUUCUGAAACCUCCGCCAUUGAGAUGUGUGUUCAAGGCAUACACUAGGGGUUACAUUACAUCAUCCAAGGCAUAAAACUGAGAACAUUUGAAGAAUUGGCAACUCGAUCCCAUGAUAUGGAGCUGAGUAUUGCCAAUCAUAGGAAGAAGGAGCCGAUCAUCGACUUCAAAAAGGAUAAGCUGUUCGCCCAAAAGGUAGACAAGACUGGGGAAAAACCCGCCAAUGAAGCUUUUACCGUCCAUACUACCCCUAUCAAGACCUCCUCCGAGCCCGUCAAGAUCUCAUCCAAAAACAAAAUGAAGAAGAUAAAGAGAAGUGAACCUUAUCGUACCCAAGAUACGUACAAAAACACCUUGAGGGAACUAGAGCAGAAAACAAACCCUUUUCCUGACUCUGACGUGGUUGCAAUGCUAGAUAAUUUGCUGGAAAGGAAGGUGAUUGAGUUACCUGAAUGCAAGUGCCCCGAAUAGAUGAAUCGCGUUAACCAUCUUAGGUAUUGUAAAAACCAUCGUAUCUUAAGUCAUGUUGUCGGUAAGUGCUUCGUCCUUAAGGAGCUCAUCAUGAGGCUAGAACAACAAGGAUAGGUCAAGCUUGACCUUGAAAACACGGUCGUAACACAUACUACUACGAUUGCAUUUGUAUCAUUCAAUCAUGUGCCUCUCCAAGCGACGCCUGACCACUCUCGUCUAUGCUCAAGCUACACGGCAUCUUUUACACAACUAUCACUGGGGGCAAACGACCAAAAUGCACCUACCGAUGAUGAAGAAGGGUGGACACUGGUGACUUACAAAAAGACAAGGAAGCCAAGACCACACGCCACACGGCCAAAGGUGGAACAAGGGAGAAAGCACCACCGUCACAACAAUAGAAAGCCCAAAAGGAGAUAAGAGUUGCUAAGUCAACAUAUGUAGGGGAACCUAUGAAGCAAGAGCCGCGUAUUCCCGUUUCCUUGCACGAGUACUUCCCAAAGGACUUUUUCCAACAGUGCACUACCAUUGCCUAUCACAUGGUUGAAGUGGAGAUAAAAGAGCCCUCGAAAGGCAAAACUAUCACCAUUGAGGAAGAAAAGACCUUCAUGCCUAACGAAAGCUUGCCGACAUACUUUAGCAUCGAGGAAGCACUACGAUUGCUCAAAGAGAUGCGAAAAGCACUAGUAGUGGUCAUGGCGAGUCUCGACGACCACGAGGUGCAAGUAAGCAAGGAUUAAGGUUUGAAGCUUCGGUUACAUGAAUAUGCCACAUGCUGUGUCGCCUAUAGCGCAAUCAACUUCACUGACGAAGACUUGCUGCUAGGGUCAAAGCCUCACAAUCGUCCUCUAUUCAUACGUGAGAUAGAACAAAAUCAACCAUAUGCUUAUAGAUGAUGGGUCGGCCAUAAACAUCAUGCCAAAGUUAACAAUAACCACAAUCGGCAUCAAGGUGGAUGAACUAUCCCAAAGCCACCUCCUAAUCCAAGGUUUUAGCCAAUGAAGACAAAGAGCAAUGGGCAUGAUUUGAGUGGAGAUGACCAUUGGCGAACUCAAAUCAAGCACGUUAUUCGACGUGAUUGAUAAAAGAACAUCCUAUAACUUGCUCUUAGUAAGGCCUUGGAUCCAUGAGAAUGGAAUAGUACCGUCCACCCUUCAUUAAUACUUAAAGUUCUACUGAGAAUGAGUAAAGUUGAUACAAGGUGACAUCAAGCCAUUCACCGAAGCUGAAUCACACUUCGCGGAUGUCAAGUUUUACAUGGAUGAAGACAUGGUACCCGUGGUUCUUCCAAAGGUGAUUAAAUCCACAGGCAAAGCCGCACCUAAGAAAUAAGAGUGACAAGCCGUGCCUAAGAAGCAAUAAGAGAAAGCAGUGCUAUCCUCAAACAAAGGCGAUGAUGAGUCUGCCAAACCCACAACAACUAAAGAGAGUAUGACGCCCUCAAAAAGACCAAACAUACUCGUCUUUCGAUACAUCCUAACAUCAAAAAGAAAGAAUGGGCAAUCGCCAUUCAAAACUGGAACAAGCAAAGUUGACACACAGCUGCACAAGGACGAUGUAAAGCUACUCAAGACAAACUCAGUUUUACCUUUGACACAGCUAGGCGAUGCUAAAAUUUCAAAACCACCGCAAGGUUUCGUAAAACCCCUGCCAAAGGGGGUGAAACCGAACAUUCUUCCAACCAAGAUGACCGAAGAAGGUUUCAACCCAAACUCCUACAAAUUCAUGUCAAAGGCUGGGUACAAUUUCACCUCCCCUUCAAAUCUUGGAAAGAAGGUUUCAAACACCAUCAAUGACAAAGAACGUGACCUCAUCGAGACUCAAAAGAAGUUCAAGGAACAUGGUUACAGAGUUGAAAACAACAAAGUUUGACUUGGGUUCACACCAAAUACACCCGUGAAGAUUUCAAGCAAAACAAAAAAUGUUAGGGCUCAACACUUCAGCGUGAACGUUGAACCAAAUCAAGAUAAGCCUAAACCCACCUCUUAGACGUCAGUUUUCGAUAGGCCGAAUCAUUCAAAACCCAUAAUUUUGGCACUUGAUCGCAUUGGUAGUCAAGAUUGAACUUCUAUCUUCAAACGGCUCAACACACCAACACCCUAAAGCUGUGUUUUCGAAAAGUUAUCAAAACCUAGUAAGCAAAGCAACACGGCUAGCUCUCAUCCGCGACAGUCGACCUUGGAAAGACUUGAAGAAACCAAGAAGCCUUCUAAGAAGAGGAAGACAAUGCCGAAAAAAGAAAAACUCGACGGUUUAGCAGAAAAAGACGACGUUCGAAGCUCAAUUUCUUCAAGGAUAAAGUGCUAAGAAACCUUGGAAGUCAACAUAAAAGGACAACUAAAGGUAAAGAGGUGUACCAUCGUACACACUGGCCAAUCUUCAUGCCAACAAGCCUAAAGGGAUGACACUGAAGAGGAGGUCCAAGACGUCUUCCACAUCAUUAUCCAAGAAGACAAACAGAAUGAAACCCCCGGGGAAGACGUCACUAUUGCACCAUCACAACUCGAGGAUGGGAGGCAAGCCACGGUUGAUGAUCUCAAGGAGAUCAACUUAGGCACAAACAAUGAGCUGAAACCUAUCUUCGUAAGUACAUUGCUAAGUGCAGACGAGAUCGAUGAGUACCACCAACUGCUAUUGGAGUACAAAGACGUCUUUGCUUAGACCUACAAGGAAAUGCCCCACCUUAACCCUACCAUCGCGAUGCAUCGUCUUGUAGUUAAGCCUGGAACGUGACCAAUAAAGCAAAUUCAAAGACGUAAUCAAUCCGAGCUCAUUCCACAAAUUGAGGCUGAGGUUGAUAAGCUAAUUAAAGCAAGCUUCAUUCGAGAGAUGCAAUACCUUAAAUAGAUCUCCAACAUCGUCAUUGUACUUAAGAAAUCUGGACAAAUACGUGUUUGUGUAGAUUUUCGAAACCUCAACGAUGCUUGCCAGAAUGAUGACUUUCCCUUACCAAUCAUCAAAAUCAUGGUGGAUGCAACAACUGGCCACAAGUCACUAUCCUUCAUAGACGGCUCUUCUGGAUACAAUCAAAUUCGCAUAACUCCCGAAGACGAGGAACUAACAACUUUCUGCACUCCAAAAGGUAUCUACUGCUACAAGGUAAUGCCCUUUAGCUUGAAAAAUGCUGGAGUUACAUAUCAACGUGCAAUGCAGAAGAUCUUCAAUAACAAGCUACGAAAAAACUUAGAAUGUUAUGUGGAUGACGUAGUUGUCAAGACCAAAAAGACAUCCGAUCACAUUAAGGAUGUACGAAUGGUGUUCAACAAACUACGUCACUACAACCUCAAAAUGAACCCAUUAAAGUGUGCAUUUGGCGUCACUUCUGGGAAGUUCCUCGGCUUCAAUAUCAAGCACCGUGACAUUGAAGUAGACCAAUCGAAUAUCAAGGCCAUCCAAAGCAUGCCCGAACCAAGGAACUUACAAGAGUUGAAAAGUCUACAAGGGCGGCUAGCCUUUAUCAGACACUUCAUCUCCAGCCUUGUUGGACAUUGUCAAUCCUUCAAUCGACUUAUGAAGAAGGACGCUCCGUUCAUAUGGGAUGACCCAUGUCCCAAUGCCUUUGAAAGCAUAAAAAUGUACCUAGCAAGCCCACGUGUCUUAGGAGCUCUCGUGCCUGGAAAACCGAUCAUCUUUUACUUUGCCAUACAAUAGGGUUCCAUUAGAGCACUCUUGGCAUAAGAAAAUGAAGGCCAAAAGAAAAAAGCACUUUACUACCUAAGUAGAACUCUCACUGGUGCCGAACUUAACUACUCAUCGACCGAGAAGAUGUGACUUGUCCUAGUCUUUGCCUUCCAAAAGCUAAGACACUACAUGCAUGCUUACACCAUCCACUUGGUUGCUAAAGCCGACCUAGUCAAGUAAGUUAUGUCCAAACCUGUUUUGACAGGGUGACUAGCUAAAUGGGCGUUGAUUUUCAAUCAAUACGAGAUCAUCUACGUCCUAGCUAAAGCCAUCAAGGGACAAGCACUAGUAGACUUCCUUGCCGAUCAUCCAAAACUAGCCGAUUGGAAAAUCUUAGACGACUUGCCUGACGAGGAGGUGUUCUACAUCGACAUCUACCUAACAUGGACAAUGUUCUUUGACGAAUCCGCACGAACGAAGUGAGCGGGGGUAGGAAUAAUAUUCAUGUCACCACAAAAACAAGUACUAGCCUAUUAAUCAACAUCGCUGAGUACCAAGCCUUGAUCUUUGGACUCCAAAUGGCAAUCAACAUGGAAAUCACAACACUAGAAGUGUACGACGACUCUAUACUCAUAAUUAAUCAACUCUUGAUUGAAUAUGAAGUGAGGAAAGAUGAUCUCGUCCUAUACUUUCGGCUAGCAACUUAACUAAUACAAAGUUUCGAGGUUGUGACAUUAGAACAUGUGCCAAGAAAAGAAAAUCAAAUGGCGGACGCUCUCGCUAACUUAGCCUCAAGUACGGUACUAGAAGAAGAUGAAGUUGCAGACGUGUUAGUUUGCCAAAGAUGUGUGAUCCCACUAAUUACUGAAAUGCUACUAGAUGACACAAACAUCGUCUCAUUACUUCCAGUCGACAUUGAAGAAUAGAGACAGUCGCUGAUCAACUACUUGGGGCAUGGAAAGCUUCCAAACGAUCCUAGACAUCGCUCUGAAAUACGACGACGAGCACCUCGCCUCCUCUACUACAAAUGAACACUCUACCGAUGCUCUUUUGAAUGAGUACUUCUAAGAUGCCUAGGUGAGGAAGAAGCCAAUCAAGCUAUGGAAGAAACACACUCAGGUGUAUGAGGAGCACAUCAGUCAGGACCAAAACUACACUUCCAACUUCAUACAUCAACCACUUGAUCUAAUACAUGCUACAGUUGCUUCAUGGCCGUUUGAUGCAUGGGGAUUUGAAGUCAUAUGACCAAUCACACCAAAGUUAUCUGCAAGAAAAGCUUACAUCCUAGCUAUAACAAAUUACUUCUCUAAGUGGGCUGAAGUUGUACCCCUGAGGAAAGUCAAGAAGGAAACUGUCGUCUCUUUCAUCAAGGAGUAUAUCAUCCAUUAAUAUGGUGUGCCUCGUUACAUCAUCACUGAUAAUGGAAAAUAGUUCUCUAACCGACUCAUGGAUUAGUUCUGCGAGAAAUACAAGUUCAAGCAGCAUAAGUCUUCCAUGUAUCAUGCUCUGGUCAACGGUAUCGGGGAAGCAUUCAACAAAACGUUGUGCAACCUCUUGAAGAAGGUAAUCGGCCGAACAAAGAGAGACUGGCAUAAAAGAAUAAGCGAAACACUUUGGGCAUAUAGGACGACACAUAUAACUCCUACCCAAGCUAUGCCUUAUUCUCUCGUAUAUGGCGUUAAAGUUGUUCUGCCACUCGAAAGUCAAAUCCCCUCACUAAGGAUGGCUAUACAAGAAGGCUUGACUGAAGAGGAAAAUGAAAAACUACAACUUUAAGAGUUGGAAGCACUCGAUGAAAUGAGGAUCGAAGUUCAACAACACUUGGAAUGUUACAAAGCAUGGCUAUCUAAGGUAUUCAACAAGAAGGUCCGCCCAAGGUCUUUCCAAAAUGGAGAUCUUGUCUUUGCAUUACAAAGGCCUAUCAUCAUAACUCACAAGACAAAAAGCAAGUUCACAUCAAAAUGGGAUGGACUUUAUGUAAUACAAGAGGUCUACAUUAACGACGCCUACUUAAUCAUGGCGGAAGAUGACUUAAAGAUCGGCCCCAUCAAUGGCAGGUUCUUGAAGUGUUACUAUCCCUAAACUAAACAAGCAAUGCUCAUUGCCUGCACGAGCCUAAACUGCACACGGCAACAAUUCUCCUUGUUCACACAAACUUAAAAGGCGACACCUAAUGCUCCUUAUUCGCACGAGCUUAAAAGGCGACACCCAAUGCUCAUUGUUCACACGAGCUUAAAAUGUGACACCCAACGCUCAUGGUCCGCAAGAGCAUAAUCUGUGUACGAUAAAACAGAAAAAGAAAAUCAAAAUCAUUAUCAAAAUCACCAUCAAAACCAUUAAAAGCAAUCCACCAUUCUUUCUAACUACGUCAUGACUUGAUCCCUCCUCAAUCGAGGGUAUGUAGGCAACUUGAAACUUCAAAACUUCAUGUAUGUUUGUACCAUACUUAGGGCCUCUGUAUUUAGAUCUCGUAUAAAUACUUGGGGGACUUAAAUGUAAUUAUGUAAUAAAGGAAUGGGCAAAUAUGUAAUAAGUGAGGAGCCUUUAUUCUAUAAAAUGACCCCUCACCCUUACAAUUAGGGGGAUACCUCACUCUCACCCUCAGAGGCCAAUUCCUAAGCCCUCUCAUCCUCUCAAAGCUCUCACUCUCAUAUUCAGAGCUCUCUCUCUCUCAGAGAUACAAUAUCAGUAUGGACGUAGCCCAAACCUUUGGGUGAACCACGAUACAUCUUGUGUUAUUUACCUUCUUGCAGAUUCACGGUCAGAUUUACGUUGUUCCAAGACCCCUCCGGUUUUGUGCAUCAACAUUUGGCGCCGUCUGUGGGAAACGACACGAAAAGUUAUGUCGGUUCUCUCUCAUUUUUUCACCUCUGCCGUGAAUCUUCAAAAUCAUAAAAACCCAAUAAACUAGUCCAUCUCUCUCUCUCUCUUUCUCAUUCGGUUGGUCUAAUUGAUUCUGCAGAAUAAAGCUAUAGGAUAGUGAAUUAACAUAUCGAAUGGGAAUGGCAAAGUUUUCCUCCGUCGGACCGAACCAUUUUUUAAAAUUGUUUUCUUCUGCUUCAUCGCGCUAUUGGCAAUCAUUCUCGCCACAGCCUUGGCGUGGAAUUUAUUGCGUGACACGAAGCUCAGCCCUCAAUUCCUUGAGUUCCAAGUCGACUUGGUAGCUGUGUCGCUGUGCCCACUCACCACCACAUCUAGCAACGACUACUUAACCACCAUGUGGGACUUGAUGUUGGUUGCUAUAAAUCCCAACCGAAACCUAGACUUGUAUUAUGAGAACCUGCAAGCUGAUAUCUUCUACGGCGAUGUCGACGACAAGGAAAGCGACAGCAAUCUCAAGCUGGGAACGGCACCGUUGCCUCCUAUCUAUGUAUAAUACUACGUUGUUUGGACUGGAUACUUCCAAACUGACGCGCUUCUCUUGCGACUUUUUCUCACCGAAUGGGACGGCGGGGCAAUCAAGGGCAUGCCAAGGUUUUGAUCAAAGUCAUAGCUAAAUUGCUAAUCCUAUCAACCUGAUAUAUAAAGCAUCCAUACGAGUGACCUCUAACAUUGCAGUUGAAGUAGUAAAGUACCCACUUCUUCACAUGCAUAAGUUUCUACAAGUUUCUCUACUAGAAAAGUAGUUGUUAGAUAAGCAAGUGAAGCAGAGGAAAAGUUGAUGAACAAGUACGAGAUGAACAAGCUGCUAGACAAACAAGUGAAGUAAGGGCGCAAUUGGGGAUUCUUUUGCUUUUGGUUGAACAGGCCGAAAGCAAAAGCAGAAAAGUAGAAAGAAAAGUACUCUGAUGGGGUUUUACAGCUGGUGUUCAGACAGCAGAAAAAGAAAAAGGAGGAAGAGUCAGCUUAUUAUAUGUGCUCAGAAAAUGGAGCAGGGCUAGGGAGGGAUGAGAUAGAGAGAGGCGCAGUGGGAAACAGAAACAAAAGCAAAAGCAAAGCAGAAAAUAAAAGAGAAAGCAAAAGUAAGGAAUAAACACCCCACCAGAAUGAUGUGAUUUGCUUUUCUUGUUUUUGUAUGAUGUGAUUUAUUUUUCUUAUCUUUCGGAGACAUUUGUAUAAACCCCAUCAGAGGGUAAUAAAAAAAACGGCAAAGCCCAAAAUAAAUGGGCUGAAAUGUUGUGUGGAGAGUGAAGGCCCAUAAGCCCAAAAUAGCACCAACCAGGUGACCAAAAGUACCCCCAGUACUACAAAAAAUUAUUCGGCACCCCGCAGCUAUUAUUGCCAACCAGGUGAUCAAAAGUACGCCUAAUACUCCAAAUUAUUCGGCAGCCUGCCGUUAUUAUCACCAACCAGGUGAUUAAAAGUACACCCAGUACUUCAAAUUAUACAUGAGCAUUACUCAUGUCAAUCAUACAUAAACAUUCAUGAGCAUUACUCAUAUCAAUCGUACAUAAACAUUCAUGAGCAUCACUCAUCUCAAUCAGCUUCAAAUGCUUCAUUUACAGAGCUCUAGCUUCAAAAGUUUCAUUUACAAAAGCUCUAGCUUCAAAAGCUUCAUUUACAGAGCUCCAGCUUCAAAAACUUCAUUUACAAAAGCUCUAGCUUCAAAAGCUUCAUUUACAGAGCUCCAGCUUCAAAGUUUCACUUGCAAAGCUUCAGCUUCAAAGCUUCACUUGCAAAGCUUCACCUACAAAGCUUCAGUGUAGGGUAUACAAAUACCGCCUCCGAACAACCACCACUUCGGUCCAUACAUGGAUUCAAUUUGAAGUCUCUAGCCAACAGACUCUAUUGACUGAAGACUUGGGGGACUACAUUAUGUACCAUAUAUUAGGCCUCAACUGGGCCUCAUGAAAAAUAUUUGGGGGACUUAGCCCAUUAUUUAUGUAUUGAGGAGCAAACCCUUAUUUUAUAAAAUGGACUCCUUCACCAUCAUUAGAGAACAUCAACUCUAGCUCAUUAUUCAUGUAUUAAGGAGCGAGCCCUUAUUCUAUAAAAGGGACUCCCUCACCAUCAUUAGAGAGCAUCGCCGCCUGCUAAGCAACCGCCUCACCACGAGCAUCAACUCUAGCCCAUCAUUUAUGUAUUGGGGAGCGAGCCCUUAUUCUAUAAAAGGGACUCUCUCACUUUCAACACCACAAGCCGAGCCAACCAAGGAAACAUAAGCCACAAGCAGAGCAGCUUCGCAACAUAUGCUACUUCUGGUUGAACAUCAUUUCAGAUUGGGCACCGCUUCAUAUCGAGUACCAAUUUUAGACGACAUCCAGUUACUUCGGCCCACACAUGGACUGAAUUUCAAGUCUCCAGCCAAAAGACUCUCUUGACUGAAGACUUGAGGGACUACUGUUUGUACCAUACUUAGGCCAUCCGUAUUUAGAUCUCGUAUAAAUACUCAGGGGACUUAAAUGUAAUUAUGUAAUAAAGAAAGGGGCAAAUAUGUAAUAAGUGAGAAGCCCUUAUUCUAUAAAAGGACCCCCCACCCUCACAAUUAGGGGGAGGCUUCACUCUCACCCUCAGAGGCCAAUCCCUAAGCCCUCUCAUCCUCUCAAAGCUCUCAAUCUCAUAUUCAGAUCUCUCUCUCCUUCAGAAAUACAAUAUCAGUGUGGACGUAGCCCAAACCUUGGGGUGAACCAGAAUACAUCUUGUGUUAUUUACCUUCUUGCAGAUUCACGGUCAGAUUUACGUUGUUCCAAUACCCCUCCGGUUUUGUGCAUCAACAAAGUACAGUCACAUCAUUAACAAAAACACAAAUACUUUGAAGAAUAAAGAGCAAAGUCAAGAAUGUGAAUACUUUAUUUCUUUAAAGGAAGAAAUCGGCAAUAAAACUGUAUUAUAAAAUGAGUAAAAAAACAAAGAAGUCUUAAAGUACAAAAAAUGGAAGACACUACUUAAAGGCUAUGUCCCUAAAACUACGACAGCGGUCUUCAAGCAAGCCUUCCAAAGUCUUAAAAGUCUCCACAUCGGUGGGGGACCAGGUGGGCACUUCCAUGGCCACGCAUUUCUCUUCCUCUAGGCAUGAAAUCCUCUCUUAAUGCUGAGAAAGUAUAGCUUCCUGCUCCAAGAGAACACCUUGAAGUCAUGAUGCUUCAAUUUUCAAUUGCUCUCACUCAUGCGCCAAAGUUUCCAGACAUGCAUAUGUAAGCUAAAUAAGUUAUUGUGACUUGAUAACCUUCCGAAACAGCUUGCUGAGAAGACCAAACUUGGGCAAUUGAUAAGUCUAUUGCCCCAAGUUGUUGAGCUCUAACCUCUGGACUCAACUUCUUCGAGGAAAUGGCAUGCAAGGAAGAAUACUCAAUUAAGGCGCUACAAGUUCGGCAUUCUUGACUCUCUAGAGAAAGGAAUCAAUGUUAAGGUUGUCCAUCGCAGAAACAAGCUUCGACAAGACCUCCUUGAGCAACGCAAGGUUAUCCACUGGGCACUUUGAAAUCCUCUUCUCAAUAUGGCUCUUGAUAUCCAUGGUUCCACGAAUGUUGAUGCGAUGGAUAAGCUACUCAGUGCCACUAAGUUUCGGCCCUCUAAGAGAGAUCUCAGAGCUAGCUAGCAAAGGUGUUAGAAGCAUGACAGGCUUUUUCAUACCUUCCCUUACACAUGGUAAACUUGGGCAACUUGGCGGAUUUGCAAUAAGCUCUGCCCUAGGUAGGUCUCUAAUCUCAUUGUCCGUGGGUAGACUACUUCUAAACAGCAUUUUUCGUAAAGGAAUGAACACAUAUGUUCACCAAAUCAAAGGAACAAAAGAGCCUAGCCUAAAGAAGACAAAGAAAGAUGUUUGAAAUAAAAGCUAAAACAAUGAAAGCAGAAGAAAUCACAAGAAAGAAGGAAAUACAUACAUUUUUCUCAAGUGAUGCACGACUAUCAAAUUGAGGAUGCCUAAAAACUCUCUUCUUCUUAUGAAGAAAAUUGACAUCACUGUCAUCCUGAGCACCUUGAAGCGAUCGCUUGUUCAAAACUAUUGACGCUUCCGUAAAACAAGCUUAUCUUCGUGCAAGUCAACUUCGACACCCGCCUCUUUAAAAGCAUCCGAACUUUGAGAAGACAAACACAGGCGUUAAAGAGCUAAGGUUGCAAGUCCAUCUUGCAAAGGAGUUGCGCUCACACAAUUAAAAGGUGCCAACUGCGUAGGAACCGCAUAAUAACCCUCUCUCAGCGCAUCAUUGCGUGAACUAGAAGAAUUGGUGCCACUUGCUGUCCCCAAGUAUUCAUGGUGUACCUAUAACCAAUAACCUCUGUAGGCACAAGUCACUGGAUUACUCUUAAACUCGUCCUUGGUCGGCAAAGUGAUAGAAGCAUUUGUGCAUGCACGGGUACAAGACUCCUAAUGCAUAUACAUGGCUUGCAAGGAUUCCGAUUGUCCAUUUUCCUUCAGCUUGCUUGGCACAUGUUAGACAAAACCAAACUGCAUGUCAAACGGUGAGGACUAUACGGCUGAACGAUACAUUAGUCUCAUUGCCGCAACGAAACAUUCCCCGAACGAAGACUCGUAAGGUAAGACAAGUUUAAGAAAUAAAGGUGUGAAUCAUCUACGAGGCCUCGCCGCGCCGAGCCAACCUUUGCUAGAUGGUCCAUUCUUAAACCUUUAUAGCUUCUAAAUAAUGCCUACGCUUGUAAAUCAUCAAGGCUCUAUGCAAAAAGUAUGCCAAGGUACUUUGUUAUCAAAGGCCCCAACUUGGGUGAAGUUGAUGAAGAAGGCCCCAACUUUUCUAAAGUCAACAAAGAAAAAUAAGUUCCAAAGUACUCACCUAACCAACUGUACACAUAAUGGUAAAGAAAUACUGCAGCACAAUCUUCGGUGCCUGUCGAGUUCGAAACAACACUCAAGCUAUCAUAAAUAUUGGCUAAGACCGGAAUACCAAGGCUGAAAGAUUCACCUACAACCAUCUUACUAGCCACUUUGAAGACGCCGGGGAGGAUAAAGUUGACGUCGUCUUUGGGGAAAACAAACUUACAAAGCCAAUAAGCUAAGAAAGCGGCUAGGUAAGAUUAUUCCACAUGCUCUUAUGGUAUGCCAAGAUCCUCAAACGCUUUUAACUUGAUAGGGGCAUGUUGCCUAGCUAAACCAAUGGCACCUGACGGGUCUGAGUCUCCCUUUGGCUUAGUGGUCUUGUUGCAGCCAAUUUUCUUCGAAGGGUUCUUGUACUUCAUGGCAUCCCAAUACCAAAAUUAAAUCCAUGAAGAAAUCUUCAUGCCUAACUUACCCUAAGCCUCAUAGGAAAGCUUGUGAUAUGCCAAAAAGAAAUAGUGGCAACUCAUAGGCAAUCCUCAUCUAUUACAAUGAGAAAAUUCUUUCACACUAGGAAUAACCUUGUUGUAAAACUUACCCUAGAUCGGUAAGCCUCCUAUCUUAUGGAGAUCCCAAAGUGAAAUCAACAUCUCCCCUUGUGACGUGUGAAGUGUGUUGGUCGCUAAACACCAAUGCUUAAAGAACGCACGAAAGACGGAAUGAUGACGAUCAUAACUAAUCAAAGAUGCGUAUACAGCGUGAUAAAGGCCCACAUUAGUAAGCACAUCUUUGGAUCGGCUCAAGACAUCUUCAAGCCACUCCUAGUAAAACUUAGCAAAGAUGGCUUCUCCAGUUAUCUAAAAGGUGUUAUUUCAAGUCAUAGCUCUGCUACGGAUGGGAUUGCCAAGAAGCUCAAACGAAGCUAGUGGAUUGUCAUAAACAUGGGGCGAAGGUUUGAAGAUAAGAAUCUUCGAUGUACACACCUUCUUCUUUGUAUUUGGUUAACCAAAAUUUGUCACCUCCCAAGAUACUUCAGAAAACCACGACUAGAUAUGCAUCGAGUUAUCUUUCGCAGGAAGAUCAAGUGCCUUAGGGCCAGUCAACGACACACAAAGCUUCAACGUCGUUACCCUAUCUUGCGAAUCGCCUUCCUUCGCAAGAAUGGUGAUGGUAUUGCUUUUAAAGAACUUAAAAAAUACCAUGGCUACACCAAAAUAAACAAGGCAACAUAAGCAUAAGAGUAGGGCGGCAAAAAGAAAAAAAAUUGCUUCACUAAAGCAAAAGACACCCGAGACAAACCUUGUGAGCGUUGAAGUAUGAUUAUAACAAAGUCACAACGACGAAAAGAAAUUAGCCACAAAACUUGAGCAGCACAACAAAUAGGGUAGCUACAAGACGGUCCUUUAAAGCACGUUACAGUAGCAAAGAAAACCAAAAUGCUACAUAAUCACACUACACAUCCCUGUAGCGAUUACACAAGCAGUUUCUUGCACUGCAAGGCAACAUCACCACCUAGGGAAAACUGUGACCAAAAGGCAUUACACAGCGUAACCCCACUGCUGUCUUUUACGCAGCACCAUGCGGUAAAAAGUGACGUACUACAACAAGCUUCAAGCAGCUACAACUCAUGGCAGCAGUAAGAACAGUGCACACGGCAAGGAAUUGUUGUGGCAAAACACACUGAUUGUCCUAUAAAUAAGGGUCAAUUGCUUCCUAAUGUUAUAGGGAGAAUACAUACCAAAUAGCAAAAGGAAAAUAAAAAGAAGGAAGCACAUUCUAUCUGCAAGAAAGAAAAAAAAUUCCAAGAAAAAAAAAAGGCAAGCUGAUUUCGGCACAAAGAAAAAAAACAAGUUGUUUUUUCAACAAAAUCAGCAAAGAGAAGAAAAGGAAACAAAGAAAUAAGGAAAGGGCUUUAAAAUUUCUAAAACAUCAAAGGAAAGUACCUUUCCUUGCCAAAAUACAAAAGGAAAUCCCUCCAAAGCAAGGACAAGUCUUCAAGUUUCCCAAACCAAAAGAGAAAAACACUCUCUUGUCGUGGAAAAAGAAAGGGAAGAAAAAAAAAAUGCAAAUCCUACUUACCCAAGGAAAAAUAAUAAAUCUUUCCAAAACCUUGAAGCAAAUCACCAAAGCUUUCCAACAUGUUGAAGAAAAUCAUCCCCAUUACCAAAAUUGAAGGAGAUUCCUACCUAAGGAAGGGAAAAGCAUUUUUCCCACACCCACAAGUAAAAAAUCCAAGCCUCAAAACACACCAAAUGUAUUUUGUCAAAAUUAUGGAAAAUCAAUACGCACAAGAAGUAUGUGCCGAUUUAUCCAUUUUCAAAAUUUUCAUUCAAGAUCAAGCCUUUAUGGCCCUUGAAGAAAAUUUCCAUUUUAUUCAAGAUUAAGCCUCUACGGUCCUUGAAGAAAAUUCAUUUCAUUCAAGACUAAGCCUCAAUGGCCUUUGAUGAAAUUGAUCAUUUCAAUGCAAGAAAUACGCCUCAAUGGCCCUUGAAGACAUAUUUCCAUUUAAGAAAUACGCCUUAACGAUCCUUGAAGAAGCAAACUAAUUCAAGAUCAAGUCUUAAAUGACCCUUGAGUUAAAGCAUUCAUAUUGCAGGACUUUAAAACACGUUUCCUACAUGUGACAAGCACAUGCCUAUAUCGCGCCUUGAAGUGGGGGCAUUUGUAGACAUGUAAAUUUUGUUGCAUGCAAAUGAUGCAUCAUAAAAGCUCCACGUGGCAUAUGCCUCAUCAUAAAUGGACAAGUCAUCAACGAUAUGUGGCAUAAAUCAAGCAAAAGAAGUUCAAAGGAAUUCCUAAAAUUCGACAAAGUGGAAGAAAUCUCCUUAUAAUCGGCAAGGGGCCCAAAUGCUCCCAAAACAAGCAAGAAUUAAAGACUGCUUGCAAAAUAGGCAAGAAAGCCCCAGCCAAGCAAGAGAAAGUGGCUGAAAUUAAGACACAAAACAUGCCUAAAUUCUCCCAUGGAAGAAUUAAGACACAAAUCACGGCCAAUCCAUCCAAAUGAAUGGCUUUGGAAGUCUAUAAAUACAAGGUCCCUAGAUAAGGAUAAGGUGGACAAUUUCUACAUUGAAGGGCCAAAAUACUCACAAAAGGAUAACCUCUGCCAAAUCUUUGAAGACUAAUACAUUGCCAAAGCUUUAUUCGAAGAACGUAUAACCAAAGCCGAAGCUUUCUUUCGACCAAAGCCGAAGCAUUCCCUUAAAGAAUCAACAAGCAUUUGUGCCAAUUGAAGGAAAAAUUUUGUCCUAGCUAAGAACAAGUAAGAACAUUUGAAUACAUAUGCAUACUAUUAACACUUUAAAAUAGGCAUGCAUUAAAAAACAAUUCAUAAAACCCAUGACUUUCAAAGCCUAGUUUAUGGUGAACCAAUAAACUCUUUAACAACAUUAAAGAGAAGUAAAGAUUUAAAGUUUCUUUACCCUUGAAGCUCAUCCUUGUUUACACAAGGGAUUCACCCAAGUGGAGGGCCUUCAAGUCACCUCCUAGCUCCUUGGAUAUUUCUUGUGAUUUCCUUCUCCUUUUGUGCUCCUUUGAACUUUGUGGAUGUAAGGAAAGGAUCUCCAAAACACCAAAGGUUUGGUGUCUCUAAGUCUCCACACCAAGGGUUAAGUGUGAAGAUGAAAUGGAUGACUUAGAGAAGAAAAGAUUGCUAGAUUAAUCUCUCUAAGUGGCCGGCCUCUUUGUAGAGAGAAAGAGAGAAAAUGUUUCACCUCUUUGCCUUAAAGAAAACCCUAAUGAGAAAAUAGCUAUAAAGUUGCUUUUAUAACACUUUUCUUUGGUGAGUGGCAAACUUGCAAUUAAGCAAACUUUCACCAUCUCCUCACCAUGGCCGGCCUAUAUGUUGUGAUUGGGCUUAUUGCCCAUUUUGUUUUAGUUGUCAUACAACUUAAACAUAAUGGGCCUUAUGGACCAAAACACUUUUGGGCCCCGAAACCCAAAACCAACUUAAAAGCCUAAUACGAACCUUUCGUAUAAUUAAUUAACUAAUUAAUUAAUCUUGACCAUUCUUCAAUUAAACCAUUUAAUUGCAUAUCCAUUUCAUUUAAUUUCUUCACUAUCGCCUUACUCGCCCUUACUGUACGAUCCAUUACGGUUCCAUUAGGUUCCAAUUAGCGAGGUAGUGGGCGAUUGUUACUCUUAACGAUCGAUUGUGAAUUGAAACCACAUUUCAAUUCUCCCUUUAUGAUUAGUGUUUGCUAGUCAUUAGGGCUUCCACAAACCAUGAGUGACACCUAGCAGUAUGUCAUGGUUACCCAAGCUAAGUAGAAUUGGUUGGAGAACCUAUCCAGUUACAACUACAAUGCAAUACGGUCCUUCUCUAAUACAAUAAUCUUAAUCACAUUGUUUAAGUGAUAGUUUGUUUCAUGUCUUCUAUCCAAUGUGAUACUUUUCUAUAUGAUUCCUUUGAAUAUGAGUUGGAACAAACUUCCUAAGUCAUAUUCAUUUGCUUUGGCCAAAGACUUACGAAUCAUAUCUUAGAGUAUUCUCCUUCCACCAUGGAAGGUUAGAGAUCCCUUGUUGUGCAUUCAUAUGCCUACAUGACUAGAUAGCUUGACCCCAACAAUGCCGUGGACACUCCGAUGGAAUGCCGUUGACAUGAUCAAAGAUCAAGGACCUAACCAUUAGACAUCUAUGAUGCCUCAGGUCAAAGGACUACUUUGCAUAUUGCAACUUUCGAGUUCUUACAUGACAUGUAUGUUCGAACUCUCUUUCGAUCGUUGUUCAGUGUACUCGAUUACUCUUUCGAGCACCUAUGUGUUUGUCUUAGUGUCCAACACCAAAUGACUUGAGACUAGUCAUACUCAAGCUUGAGUCGACAUAACACAUACUAACCUUAACGGAUUGUCAAUACCCAAUUGGCAAUCCUAUGGCUAGGAACGUUUUAGGAAUGAACAUAAGAGAAUGGUCUCGAUAAUCUAACUCACUUAGAUCACUUGUCUCUUAGAUCAAAUACAUCCCUUGGAUUCCCUUAUUACUUAAACACAUGAUACAAUAAAUAGUGAUCAACAAUAAGCUUUGCCCUUCAUUAAACAUAUAAAAGUUUAAUAUAUUAAGUAUUCCAAAAAGCUAUUACAUCAAAUGAGUGGCUUUGUGGGCAUACUUCCAACACCAAUUUCUUCAAGACUUUGUUGCAAGCUUAAAACUUGUAACGGCGUUGGAUUCAAGAUCAAGUUGCCAAGACCCUUGAAUCAACAAAAUCCCAUGUCAACAUCACCUUUGCUGCAGGUCAUAUGCAAACCUAGAGGUGAAAAUUAUCCACGCAUUGUUUCAACCUCAAAACUUGAAGCAAUUGUUCAAUCGUUCAUCCGAGAUCAAGUCAUCAUGACCCUUGGAUCACCAACCUACGCAUCUACAUCAAAUUUGAAGACUGAAUUAGAGGAAAAUUUUAAAUAGAGAUCGUAACCCUACAAAUUCAUCAAUAUAAAUCUACUUUGUACACGUGUUCUCGUUUCAUUUGUUACAGAAUUUUUGUGUUUACAAUGAUGCGUACAAAUGAUUUGGCUAAAUAGCUAGUGAUAUAUAAUACGGCACCAGAGUACAACUCAUGCAACAGAAAGUCCCAUUAAGCUGGUUAAUCACAAGUUUUGAAUUACCGAGGAUGAGUAUGUGGGUUGCCUUCAAGUCAUGAAGAAUGUUAAGGCCGAUGACAAGGGCUUCGUACUCGGCCUGAUUAUUAUUAUAAUUGAAAUCUAACUUGAGAGCAAAAUACCAUCUGUAAUGGUCAAGUGAUUGGACGACAAUGCCAACACCGGCCGAGGUCGCAGUACUAGAGCCGUCGAAAUACAUCAUCCAAAAAUUAUCACAUGUUAAUACCAUGCCAAUCUUGACAUCGUUGCCCCCAAAACCGCAUGGAGAAGGAUGUUGGUCUAAAAAAUCGGCCAAAGCUUGACCUUUACGACUUUUUAAGGUAUGUACUGCAAACUGAAUUUAGAUAAUGCCAUUCUCCAUUUUCCAAUUCGACCUUUGAUUAUUAGUCAAGUAACCGUAUAUCGAUUAACAUCCGUUUGGGCAAUGACCUAAGUAACGGAAGGGAGCAUGUAAUGCCUGAGCUUAGAUACGGUAAAGAAUAAAGCCAAGCAAAGUUUCUCGAUGGCCAAAUAAUUUAUCUCAGCUGAGUUGAGAUUUAGGCUGAGAAAAAGAAUGGCUUGUUCCCUACCGAUGUCAUUAUCUUGUGCAAGAAGACAACCAAUGGAUUCUUCAGCAGCUGAGAUAUAUAACUUGAGUGUUUUGCCACGCUGAGGUGGCGUAAGAAUAUGAGGGCUAGUAAGGGAGACCUUGAUUUGUGUAAAGGCGUCUUGAUGUUCAUCUCACCAUUUGAAUCAGUUAGAAUCUUUAAAUUUGAGAAGCGUGAAAAAAGCCUUCAUUUUUUUACCGAGUUAAAAAUAAAUCAGCAAAGGAAGUUAAUCUUGCCAAGCAAGGAUUGUAACUACUUCUUAGUUGUUAUGGUGGAGCAUCGAUGAUCCCAUGAGCCUUGUCCUUAUCUACCUCUAUGCCUCGAUGAUGCACAAGGAAUCCUAAGAAGUUUCUUACAGAUACGCCAAAGGCACAUUUAGCGGGGUUCAUUUUGAGUUUACGCUUGCGCAUGCGAAGAAAAGUAUGCCAAAGAUCCUCUAAAUGUGUUCAGUAGCGUUUGGACUUAACUGCGACAUUGUCGAUGAAUACUCAACGAUUUUGCCAAUCAGGUCGUGGAAAAUGGUAUUCAUCGUACGUUGGUAUGUGGUACCCGUAUUCUGAUAGGAGCAUAUUUAUGCGACUUAGUUAGCUUGUUUUCUUGCACUUUUAUAGUUAGUUUGUGGUUAUUAUAGUGUUUUAAUCUAUUUUUGUGUGUUUGUAGGUCCAAAUGACAAAGUAUGCAAGAAGGUGCAAUUUGGAGCCUUUUGGAGCAGUUUUGAGCAUAAAAUGGAUAUCACAUGCUUGGAGUCAAAUGGAUGGACGAAAUUGAAGAUCAAAGGAGGCAAGAAAUGAAGAAAUGAACAUGAAGAACAAAGAGUUCAGAAUUGGAAGCCAAAGUUUCUAAAGUUGGAGGUUUUCAUUCUUGCAAGUUUCUAUUCUUGGAUUGGAAGUUUCCUAAUCUUUUUUCACCUUGGUUCCAACCCUUGCCACACCUCUCAAGCUUCUUCGCUCUUGGAUUCUGAUUUGUUAGGCCCUUUUCCUUGUGGAUUUGGGUUCUACAAAUCCUUUUCAGAAACUAAGUGGGCCAAAAAUCCUUUUCUUUGUUGAUUUAAACCCUAAACCGAAUCCUUAGGCCCUAAGCCUUAAAAUCUGCUAAGUUUAAACCUUAAUCUAUCUCCCCUAGGGUUGUGCCACACCUAACACUUUUAGAAGCCUAAAAAUCUGCACAAACCCUAGUUCUUUUCUCCCUUGGAUGGGUCAAGCCUUUUAUCUUCAAAACCCUAACCCUUUUCUCAUCAGAUUUUGUGAAAACCCUAGCUUUGCCGUGCCUAUAUAUAUGUGUUUUUAAAGCCUAAAUUCGUCACCACCCUUCACACUAUUUAGAAACACCUUGCCCAACCCUAAUCACCAUUCUACAUCACAAAACACCAUCCUACAUCCAUAUACAUCUCUGCCGCACCUUUUGGAGAAGAAUGAGAGCCUUGUCGUGCAUUCCAUUGAUGAAGGAGGGCCUUAUGCGUAAGCCAUCUGCAUCAUUGGGAGUUUUAAGAGUUCUUUCUUCCCUCGUUUCAGUUUUGAUGUUUAUUUUAAUUUGCUUUUCAAUUGCUAUGAACAUGUGGAACUAAACUCUUAUUAGUUAGUGGUGAAUUUGAAGCCAUGGACAUAUGUUAAUAUGAAUUGAUUCCUUUCAGUUAUUGUUUCGUAAAACAUGAAUACGAUUUACUUAUCUAUUUGAUUGAUAACUUAUUCUUGUGUGUUGAUUAAGGAGGCCUACUUAGUUUGCAUGCUUGAAUCUGAUGCUAAAUUAUAAGGGACUUUCACCUAAUCGUUAGAAACUUAUAAUUACAAGUAGUGGAGAUUGUUAGUCACAAUCGUGUUAAGUAGAUUCUUGGCAAAAGUAUCAUGCAGUUCAUAGUUAUAAUUGCCUUGUCAAUGCUUAUGAUUUCCAUGGAAUUUAAUGAUCUUUGAAUGUAUCUCUAUCAUGCUGUUCAUAUAGGGAACUUGAGAAGAAUAAUUUGGGUUGUUACAUGCAUUCAUCCAAUUCAAUGAAUUUAGGGAAAUCUAAUAGUUAAUUUGUGCAUUCACGAUUAAUUUGGGUUGUCGUUCAUGGUUUAAAGAAACAAUACUGGAAAUUGAUUUAUAUUGCAUAUGUUCAUGUGUGGAGAAGGAUCCUCUAACUAUCUUUUCACCCUUGAAUUCAUCUCAAUUUCGUUUUAGUUUACUUUGAUUUGCAAUUUGUUUAGUUUUAAUUCAAUUUCGUCAGAAAUCAAACACCCUUUUCUGUUGUGUUAUUAGGUCAUAAUAUGUCCUAAUUAGGUUCUUUAGAGUGUUUUGAGUCAAUAUAGGUUAGAAUUAGUCCAUAAACAUUGUUUGGGUCUUAUUUUAGUCUUAAAUUCGUCUAAUUUCAUCUCUAGAAUCUGUUUUGAGUCUAAUUGUUCGUAUUAUGUUGUUUUGAGUCUUUUAAGUGUUUUCUGAGUUAGUUAAGUUACAAUCUGUUUUCUUUUAAUCUUUUGAGUCAAAGUAAGUUUUAAUUUCGUCCACAUCACUUGUUAGGUUUAGAAUUGAGUCAAUUUCACUUAGUUUUGCAGAUUUGAGUGUCUUAGGUCAGUUUAGAGUCUAUAGAGUAUAUUCUUGUGUUUUUAAGUCUAGUUUAGUGUUUUAGAGUUUAAUUUGAGUAGAUUAGCAGCCCUAGUUAAUCCGGUUUAGAACGAUCCCUACUUACAUCUUUGCUACAAUUGUCAUCAAUAGGGUUUAAUUUGUGUGUCAAGUAAUUUUCACAUCACAUUCUUAAGUCCAAAAGAAAUGACGACCUAUUCGUAAGUCCCUAGUGCAUUGGGGCAUUGAAACAUAGUUUUAUGGAUGUCGGCCUCGACGAUAAAAAUUUCAUGGUUUGUCACAACAUCGAUUAAUAAAUUUGAAAUUCGCAUUGGGUAUUCAUCUUUAGGGGCUGCUAGAUUCAUAUUACAAAAAUUGAUACAAAAGCGCAAGGCAUCAUUCUUUUUUAAGGCUGGGACAAUAUUCCCCAACCACUCAACGUAUCGAGCUAUCCGAAUAAACCUGGCAUUUAAAAGUUGAACUAUUUUGUCUUUUAUUCCGAGCUGAACUUCGGUCGAGAAUUGGCGUGAGGGUUAGCAGAAAUGUUUACAGCCGGGUUUAAUUCGUAGCUCGUGUUCAACUAAUGUCUGAUCAAGGCUAGGCAUCUCAUGGUAGCUCUAAGCAAAACAAUCUUUAAAUUCCUCAAGUAAUUUACAAAGUUCGCCUUUCAUAGGCUGAGGCAACAAAGCCCUAAUAAAUAAAGGCUGAGGUUCAUCGGCCGUCCCAAUAUUUAUUUCUUCUAAAGGAUCUUUGACUUCAGGCCUAUUAUCUUUAAGCUUGGCUGGUGCAGCCUUAAUUUCGUCGAAGGACAGCUUUGUGCUGUUAUCUCAUUUAGCGAGAAACUCUACUAAGUUCACGCUAUAAUUCGGCUCCUUGGAAUUGGUAUACCAGUGGGACAAUAGUUGUUCCAUUAUAGAUGAAACCAAUGCCCUUCGUUCAUCCCAUCGUGUUGUGUCAAUCAUCAGGACAAUUGGCUCAGUUAGCAAAUCUGAGUCUUGCCGAAUCCUACUGGAUGGUCUUAGCGCCAACCUCGAUGGCUUUCUGGACAGAGAUUUUGGUCGGUCUACUUUAUUCGUUAAAGCCUUGUAAAGUGAUGUAGCCGACCUAGCCAACUAAUGAUGGGCUUGAAUCAUGUUAGCCUCGAACGGCUGAUUAAUUACUGGAUAAACUAUGGCCGAUUUGCCGUAAAAAAAAAUAAGGACCUAGUAUAGUGAAAAAGGCAUACAACCAGUCUGGUGGAUCCAGUCACGACCAAGCAACGCAUUGUACUCGGUCUUGAAGUCAACUGUAAAAAUUACGAUCAUGUGGUUUCGACUUGCGAUAUUGACUUCCAAAGGGAGUACUCCUUUAGUCUGGGAUUUGUCGCGACAAAACUGUUCAUAGUUACACCAGAUGGAAUGUGCUCAUCUUUGGAACGGCGCAAAGCUUUCAUUAUGAAAAUAGGCAUGAUAUUGACCAUUGCUCCACAGUCAACAAAAACUUUAGACAUCAGAUAUCCCCCGAUAUGGGCCGUCACAAACAAUGGCUUCAAGUGAUGGAGGUUGACGACCAAGGAACAGGGAAAAAGCUCAACUAAUGCUACUUUGAGCUUUUCCUAUUUGCCAACGGUAUGGCCUCUUCGACAUCCACGAACUCGACUUACGUUGUUUCUUCGGUAACCACAUCACCAUCCAAAAAAGCUUGGUUGGGACGUGGUUGGCUGGAAUUCUGCAGAUAAGACAUGGACCAUGCUAAUUUCCAUAUUAUCGAUGAUUGAUGGACCUAUUGGAUCAUGAUCCCCGUCUUCUGGAUUUUCUAGCAUAGCAUAUUGAUCAUUGGUCACCUCAACGACAUCGUCUUCUACCAAAGGCAAAAGAUACGCACUUAGGUACUUGGUGUGGCCAUUUUAUAUUCAACUUCUACAACUUGUUCUAUCGAUGGGACUUGAUCUUGUGUUUGCAAAGCCUUGCGAACCCACUCUUGAUAUGCGAUGUGAGCAUCUUGCGUAUCUAGGUAAGCAUCCAACCUUCUAACUCGCUGUCUAUUCGGCUGUAAGGCCGAAUUGGGAUACGGUCGAAAAAACCUUAAAAUGAUGCCGCAAAUAUUGCAGAUUGUCUAAAGAUAAUGAGAGGUAUGCAGGUCUAAAUCGGUGUAUGGUUUGACGUCAAAACCUAGAAUACUGGCUUCGCGAAUGUGUUGGAAUCUGGCCAUCAUUAUUAGAUUUAACCAUUGGGAGGCCGUAUAGGUCGUUAACUGAAUUCUAUUUGUGAAAUUCCUGCAUGUAUUCUAGAGCCUCACCAAAAAACGGCGGAUGGCAAUUCCUUUUAACUUUAAUCAAUGGCGAUUACUUUCAACCUCAUUUCUUAAAUGCUUGAUACGAGCCUUCAUUUCUCCAAGCCGAAGAAGAAGUUUGAUUCGUUUCUUAGAUUCUUCAAUCUCAUUUUCAAAAUUGCAAUCAAUUACGUUCUUUCCUCGGAGUAACUCGGUUAUGAUUGUCGGAGGUUGGCUAUUAUCCUCUUUUCUUGCCGUCUCUUUAAGCUGCCACUUCAUGACUGAAACUUCUUAUGCUGUUCGUAGACAGGCCAUGCAGCCCAUCUUCUGUAGACGACAUUUUUGGGAUUUAGACAAAAUGGUAUACAUACCGGAAAGAAGAUUAUAAUUAUGCCACUGGUGGUCUCAUGGCUUAAGUGGUUUGAAAGUUCGUUGGGUCGUUGAUGAACUUGAACUUCCAAAGUUGUAUACAUAGUAAUCUUUAUCAUAAAAUGGCCCUUCGAAAUCAAGGCGCCGUCUAAUUGAAGGCGAUUGGUAAUUCUAUUGUUGAGGGUCGAGUCUAUCAAAAACCUUUUGCUGUCGUUGUCUCGAGGUGAGCACUGGUUAAGAUUUCAUUGAAACCAUAUAUAUAGGUUCGACUGAUGGUUUCAGUAGUCUUGGCUCGGUUAUGACGACUUUUGAUUGGCAUUUACUACAUAAGAUUAUUGGGCUCUCAGUCUCAUCAGAAUUGGAGACAGAUGCCGGUUCGACAUACACAGGAUUCGAGAAGAACAUGGGGGGUCAUUUUCGUUGAAAAAUUGAUUUUCAAGUGGCCGAGGAUUCUGUUUUGUGACGUGAUAAAUCGGGAUGUACUCAGCUUUUAUUUUUUUUCUUAUCCUUCAGCAAAUGGACGUCCACCAUACGUAUUGUUGCCGAAGGGAAAUGAUCAGCAUCGACUAACAUCUGUGUCUUUUCUGGGAACUUUAGUUUGCCACUAUCGAUCCAGCUUUGAAUAGCAUUAUGGAACACGAAGCAGUUAUUUGUUGUGUGUUUGUUUAAGUUAUGCUACUUGCAGUAUGUUUUCCUUUUUAAUCUUCGACCUUAGGAAUGUCAUGCCCUGGCUGAAGCUUGAUGAUCUUUGUAAGUAGUACCUGGUCAAAGAUAACAUCAGCCUUGGUGAUGUCAAAACCUUUGAUGUUUUGAUGACUACUUCAACAAAGGGCCAAGUGCGUUUUGACAUCUUUGGAACUAGUAUGAGCCAGUGCCUUGUAUACAUAAGGUUUAUUGAUUACUAUCUUGGUCGCGUCAAUGCUAACAUGUUGGGACUCGUCACCCUCGACUGAUGCAUAUCCUUCCGUUGGGUUCUUAUAAAUUGUCCCACGGGUUGGAGUUUUCGAGAUCUUUUCAUCUUUAAGCGGAUAAUCAUAUUGCUCGACAUGUUGAGCCAACUUAUACAUAUCUCGAAAGUUUUCCACUAAGUAUUUCUUCUUGUAUUCUACAUCUAGGCCAUUCUGGGCAAGCCUAACAAAUUCCACCUCAAGAAGGGGUACUCGACACCAAUUCCUAGCCGAUUUGAACUUGGUAAAGAAGUCCAUCGGUGACUCAUCAGAUGAUUGUGCCAUCCUAGCUAAAGAGGAGACUGACACUUCUUAUUCUGGUCGAUAAAAUUGUUUAUAGAAUUUCUCAACCAGUUCCUCCCAGUUUUGUAUAGAGUCCAGUGGAAGGUUAAUGUACCACGUAAACGUUGUGCCUGUCAACAAGAAAUUAAAUAGUUGUCGUUUAUAAAAAUCAAUGUUGACAUCUUCACAUUGGGCAAUGAAUCUAGCCACAUGUAUAAAUGAGGACAACGACGAUUUCCUAGUGAAGAAACUGAAAUCUGGGAUCUUGAAUCGUCGAGGAUAUUCAAGCCUUUCUACAAAGGCUAGAUAUGGAUGAAUAAAAUUUGGAAAUUUCAACCCUUUUUUCAAGGCUGAAUCGAUCAUCUUCUAGACUUCAACCAUACACACUAGUGUUGCUUCUGUUCUUUGGCCGAAUUCAGCCGAACUAGUGCUUGGUUCACCGUAUGCUUUCUCAAGAUCGAUUAUCUUAGGUCGAGUGAGUUCUAUCUUAGCCGGUAUUAGCAACAGCCCUUCUUCACCCAAAGGAACAUUCUUGAUAAAACGCUGCCUAGGUUGAUGACCGGCUCAUUUUGGUGAGCAUUGUUAACUAAAAUUUCGAGCAGCUUGUUAUUCAAAACACUUUUAUCACGUACUACUUCAACACUCUUAUCACGUACUACUUCAAGUAGGAUUUUCAUCUCUCAGCCAAACAUUUGCCCAAACUACCAAGAUUGUUCUUCCAAUCAUCGUCGGAGUAAAGAUUUAGAUGGUGGACCAGAGCUCUCAUUGUCGUCGUCACAAUCCUCUACCAAACCUUCAAUAAAACCAUAUUUUGCCAUCUUGGUAAUCUGGAUGAAGACCACGGCAUCAUGAUUCUGAUUGCUGAGAUUAAUUUCCUUCUCUUGGUGCACCCAACCUGUGGCUUCAAGUGUCAUGGCAACAGGAGGAUCUUACGACUACGACGCAUACUGGACUCUGAACUAUAGGUGCUAAACUGGUGGUUGGUUGAUCCAUAGUUGUUUUCUUUUUUAUUGACCGUGUUUCAAUGGUCAUGAACUUCAUAGCCUUAGCACUGGGUCCUACUGGGCGUGCCAAAAUUGUGACCCUAAAAACUACUUAGUCUAGUGGUGCGCAUGCCAAAUAAUUAAUAAACGAAAUUUUAAUUUGCAUCAAAUAUACCAACUUUUUUAAUCUAAAAUGUACCGAUUGUUCUUUUAUAUAAAUGUACCCAUUGUUUUUUUCUAUUAUAAAAUGUACCCAUUUUUUCAUAUAAAGUGUACCACCUUUUUUGUAUUAAAUAUACCAACUUUUUGUAAGGAAAAUGUACCUAUUAAAACUACCAAUUUUUUUGCAUGUGAAAUGUCAAUAAUAUAAGUAAUGACAAAUCAUGUCAUUAAGAUAAAUUAUACUUUUUUAUAUAAGUGUAAUUUAUUUUAUAAUAUUUUCAAUCCCACGAAUCAUGGUUUUAUUUAAAAUCUCAUUUAAUACAACUAUAAAUAUCAUAUUUCAAUUUAAAAUUAUAAUAACCUAUAUAGAAAUGCAUUAUUGUAUUAAUUCCAGGGACUUCAAUAAAAAACUAAAAAUCAACAAAGUUUUAAUCGAAGAACGUUGAUAAAUAGGGACCACAUUCAAAGUAACCCUUAGUGUGUGUGUGUGUGUGUGUGUGUGUGUGUGUGUAACACACCUUUGAAGUUUAACUUUCUUUGAUAAAUUUUUCCCAAAUUUUAAUCCAAGAAUUUAUUUCAGAACCAACAUAAUUUUCAAUAAUAGAAUGUAAGAUUUUAAGACAAUAGAUUCGCCAAACACUGAGAUUUUAUUACGUACUUUCAUUAAGUUGAAUGUAAGAUUUUGUGAUAAGCACUAGUGUAAAUAUUUUAAACUCAUGAUCAGGUUGGUUCAUUGGAUUAUUCUAGGGUUGAGGAGUAUAUUUCUAAAAAAAUUAUCUAAAUUGGAGUAAAAAAAAUGUUAAAUCGUGAAUUUUCUUUUCUAACCGUCGAAUGAUUUCGUUCCGUUACCUAAUCUCCUAAAGUUCAUUUUUGGUGAUUUUUAGUGUAUGUGAUCUCGGGGACAGUUGAAUCAUUGAAAUUAGUUUCGUAAACUGAGUAUUAUGUCAAAACAAUAGAUUCACAACAAACACUUAGAGUUUAUUCUAUACUUCCAUUAAGUAGAACGUAAGAUUUUGUGGAAACCACUAGUGUACAUAUUUUUAAUUGGUGAUCGGAUUAGUUCAUUGUAUUCUUCUAGGGUCGAGGAGUAUAUUUAUGAAAAAUCAUCAAAAUCAGAGCUAAAAUAAACGUUAAAAUCGUGAUUUUAAAGGUCCACAUAAUACAUACCAAAUUUUUCCCUUUGUGCGAAAACUUUGCCUGAUGAAUGGUACUUUACCCCUCGAACUCCAUUUGUUAGACAAAAGUCAUUGAAAAGGCAAAAACGGUGACCACUUUUGCUUGAAACGUUUAGUUGUGUCAGGCAAAUGACCUUUACCCGGCGAAAGAUUGUCCAUCGGGCUAAUGGUACUUUCUAGUAGUGAAUAUAUGUAUAAUACAUAUAAAAUAAUUUACUUUGAAAAUAAAAAAAAAAAUGUUGUUUGAUUCAAAAUUAAUUUACUUAUAAUUUACAUAAGUAUAAGUAAAUUAUUUGCACAAAUAUAUAAUAAUAACAAAAUCUGCCUAAUAUAUGUAAUAAUACAUGCAAAAUAAUUUACUUACAAUGAUGACCACCAAAUAAAAAAAAUUGGGAGACAUGAUUGUAAGAUAAGUAUAAAAAUAAUGUGGAAAACUCAUGAGUGGAUUAUUUUGUAAUAAUAAGGCACUUAUGUGCCAUAUAUGGUGGAUAAUUAAAUCCAUUAACAUAAUUAGAGUGUUGUGACACAUUUGUAAAUAUUUUAGUAAUUGUAAGUCACUUAUUUGUCUACUUGGCAAUUAAUAUGAAAUUCAAGUUUUAUUUGGAGGUUUAAAAGGUGAUGAGUUUUUGUCUAGAAAUAAGUUGCAAAAGCUUAUCUCUAAACAACUUUAAACAUCAUUGAUAAUAGUUCUUUUGGUAUCAUGUCGCAUUAUGAUGAGUUAUUGAGUAAUCGGCAUCAUUCAAAUUUAGUUUUUAUCAAAUUAAGAGUUUCUACAAGUCUUUGUCAUAGUAGGAACAAGAUCAAGAACACAUCGCUGAAGUUUAACUUUUAUAAAUUCUUCCUAAAUUUUAACCUAAGAAUUUAUUUAAGAACCAGCACAAUUUUCAAUAGUAGAACAAAUGUGUGGUAUUCGAGCAACAUGAUUUCCAGACCUCAUCAUAAAACAUGAUUCAAACCUCAAUGGUCUUCUCAGUUUUAAUUUCACACCUUACCUAUCUUUGUCCUUUCCCCAUAUCCUUAUCAGUAUUCAGUAAGCAUGUGAAAAUUUAAAAAAGGGUAAAAAUAUAAUUAACCUGUCGUAUCACUUUCACCUUCUGAUUUUAGGUUAUAUCCAUACACGCGUUAUGCAUGUGGAGACGAGAUGGCAUUGUCACGAAGGAUGCAGAGACUACAUUUGGGCCACAAAGACCAUACAAAAGAGGUAUAUAACAUCAUUUUCACCAGUUUGCACUAGUUUUGGUCGAGGCGAGAUGGCAGGGCCAGGUGGUACGAACACAAAAGCAGUGCAUUUCAGCCUUGCGUUUUCUCUUCCAACACUUUACGUACAUGAAAACAAAUCAAUUAAUUUCCUGAUUUCACACUGCAUGCAUUCAGAUCCAAAACGUGCUGCACAUGUUUUAUGUCCUCAUCGCUAGCUCUUCACUGGUAGGAAAUAGAACGCUUGGUGAAUGCAGUGAUCGAAUGGGAUCAAGAAAUAGGCAAUUUAGAGAUGACCGUAAAAUCAAAAGAAUGGAACUGCCAGACCUCAAGACUUUUCAUUCUUGCCUUGUACAAAAGCGUGUUUUGCUCAAAUUUUCUUUUAUUCAUCCUCAAAUGUACAACAUAUAGUAAAUACAAAUUUUCUUUCAACUUUGGUUUAUGUCAAAUUAAGAGUUUCAAUAGGUUUUUAUUAUAGUAGGAACAAGAUAAAUAACAUAUCCAUUGUUAACUUUCUUUUAUAAGUUCUUCCUAAUUUUUAUUUUUUUGAACAAACGAUAGUAUCUACACCAAUAAUAUAGGAGAGUGAGCUAAAUGGCAUAAUGAGUAAAAUAAUGUGAUUCAAAUCGCCUUUGGCGAGAUUUUAACAUAAGAAUUCGGUUUUAAUUCACAUCUUAUCUAUCUUGGUCCUUUCACCAUAUCCUUAUCAGUAAGCAUGUGAAAAUUGUAUAAGGUGUUGGAUUUAUCCAAUAUAAAUCAACCUUUAAGUGGUCUACUAUAUGUAAUAGGAAUGUAAUAUUGGAGAAUAAUGUUAAUUGUGAUUUGAUCUCUUAAAGAUAUCAAUCCUAUAUAAGGUGUCUUAUAUUGGAAAUAGGAUUGAUGGAAUCCUUAAUUGAAUAUGAUUAUGAUGAUACUUGACUUGGAGGCUAAUAAAGUAAGUUUAGGUUUCCUUUAUGGAUGGAAACCCUAGCUUUUAGCCUAUAUAAAACACCGGUCCCUAUAAGCCCUAGAACACACAACAUAAUGCUUCCCAUAGAGUAGUUGUAUUCGGCUAGGAACUUAUAGAAGAUCUUGGUGUUGCCAUGCCCACUUCCUUUCGUGUUCGACUUCCAUGGCUACCGUUGGAAUCAGGUUAGUCACUCAUUCGUUUGUGUUUUAAUUGUAUAACCUAAUAAGGCUAACAUAAGGGUGAAAAGUAUAGCCUGUUGUAUCACGUUCACCUUCUGGUUUUAGGUUAUAACCAUUCAGGGAUUAUGCAUGUGGAAAAGAGGUAUAUGCCAUUAUUUCACCUUUUAUGGUAGAGACGAGCAGGCAGGGCCAGGUGGCACAAACACAAGGAAGAUUAUGGAUUUGUGGACGUGCCUUGCGUUUUUUUUUACGUAUAGAUCCAAAACGUGCUGCACAUAUUUCAUGUCGGCAUUGCUAGCUCCUCAUAUAUAUUUAACGAGGACACCGAUAGGAAAUAUAGCGCUUGGUGAAUGCAGUGAUCCAAUGGAAUCAAUAGAUAGGCAACCACAAUCGUGACCUUUUGAGUUUAUGGAUCAUUUUGUUAUAGGGAGUUGUGCAGACCCAACAAGACUUGUGAUCACUAUUUGACAUUUCUACUUCACACUUUAUGAAUGGUUGAAAAUGCUUGAUGGAUAAUCAAGCGGCACUCCCAUAAUUUGUGUGAACAUGACUUACCUCCUAUAGAGGGAGAAAAUGUACAAGCCAAAGAGGGUAAGUGAAGAAGGGCUUAACGCAUGGGACAACGUCUAUGGCGUCAUCAAAACCCUCAAUAGUGCGGCUAGAGAGUCUAUAUAUCUUUAGUGUUUCUCUUAUAUGCCUUUAACACUGAGUGCAAUUAGUUUUGUUCUUUAAAGAAAACAGAGAAGAACACAAGCCAAAACACAUAUGCACCGCCUAAAUUCUAUUGAUUCAAGUGAGAGAUAUUGUUUACACUUUUAAAUGAAUCACUCCAUUAUCAGUUGUACUUUCAAAACUUUCUUAGUAAUUUAAAUGAAUUUAUAAUUAUUAUGUCAUGUGCAAAUAUAAUACUAUAUGCAGUUUUCUUAAACUCAUUAUAUGGCCAAUUUCUUUGACAUGUGUAUACCACGAGUGUUUGGAUCCCAUGCCAAGAUAAUUCUAGUCUUUUUGGCUUUAUUUGCCUAAAAUAUUUUGUUCUCGUCUCAUUCAUUAAGGCAUAUAUCCACUCUGUCCAUAAAUUGCACAACAGUUCAAUUUAUUUUUGUGUAGUUAAGAAAAUGCAUUUAGCUCCUCAAAUUUAUUUUCUCUACAUUAAGUCCGACAUAAUAUUUUUUCUUAAAGAAUACUUAGUGACUAGGAUCCAUAAAUGUAAACUCAUUAAUUAUGAUUUACUUUACACAUUUUACAUUUUUUAGAUGCCUGGCAUAUCCCUAUUGCAUGUAUGAUAUGCACAAUUAAUUCUAUACAGAUUGUAAACACAAUUAAUUCUAUGCAGAUUGUAAGAGGCAGGACUAAUGAUUUUGCAAAAGAAAAAAAGGAGAAAAAGACAUUAAUGUUACAAAUUUACGAUUACAAUAAAUCUUGGAUAUUAAUGGGAGCUUUAUAUAUAUAGAGACAAAAAACUUUCACUACAUUUCAACUUUGAAGGACCUCCACUAGUUUUUAAACAUGUCAAUGAGAGACAAAACAUAAAAAUAACUAAAGCCCAUCCCAAAGACAUGGAAUCAAUGUUUUAAAAUACCAGCCAUACCUCUAAGACUUUAAGGCUGUUACUAGAGCCUAGCCCUCACAACUCCAACAAGUCAAUAUGUGCCAUAAGCUUAACCCAUCCUCGACUAUUUUUACAGAAUCAAUUUUCAAAAUAUAGGUAAAAUUAGUUUGAAUCCCUUUUACUGGAAUCAGUUCAAUCAGUCAUCGUCAUGAGUGGAUAAUUUUGUAAUAAUAAGGCACUUAUUUGCCAUAAUUAUGGUGCAUAAUUAAAUUCGUUAACAUAAUCAGUGUAUUGCGACACAUUUGUCAAUAUUUGGGUAAUAGUAUGUCACUUAUCUGUCUACUUGGAAAUUAAUUUCAAAUUCGAGUUUUAGUUGGAGGUUUAAAACGUGAUGAGUUUUUGUCUAGAAAUAAGUAUUGCAAAAGGUUAUCUCUAAACAACCUUAAAUUUCAUUGAUAAUAUUGCUCUAGGUAUCAUGUCCCACUAUGAUGAGUUAGUGAGUAAUGGGCAUCUUUCAACUUUGGUUUAUAUCAUGUUAAGAGUUUCUAUAAGUCUUUUUUAUAGUAGGAACAAGAUAAAGAACCCACUGUUGAAGUUUAACCUUCUUUCAUAAAAUCGUCCUAAAUUUAACCCAAGAAUCUAUAUAAGAACCAACGGACAAUUUUCAGUAGCAGAACAAAUGUGUGGUAUAUUCGAGCAACAUGAUUUCCAAACCUCAUCAUAUAACAUGAGUCAAACCUCAACAGUCUUUUCAGUUUUAGCUUCACACCUUACCUGUCUUUGUCCUUUCCCCAUAUCCUUAUCAGUAAGCAUAUGAAAACUGAAAAAGGGUAAAAAUUAUAGCCUGUUGUAUCACUUUCACCUUCUGAUUUUAGGAUAUAUAUAUCCAUACACGCGUUAUGAACGUAGAGACGAGAUGGCAUUGUCACAAAGGGUACCGAGACUACCCUUGGGCCAAAAAGACCAUGUAAAGGGAUAACAUCAUUUCACUAGUUUGCACCAGUUUUGGUAGAGACGAGAUGGCAAGGCCAGGUGGCACGAACACGAGGAAGAUUACGGAUUAGUGGAAGCAUUGCAUUUCAACCUUGCAUUCCAACACUUUACGUACAUGAAAACAAACUAAUUAAUGUCCUGAUUUCACACUGUAUGCAUUCAGAUCCAAAACUUGCUGCACAUAGAUAUUUAACGAGGACACUGAUAUGAAAUAGAGCGCUAGGUGAAUGCAAUGAUACAAUGGGAUCAAGAAAUAGGCAAUUUAGAAAUGACCACAAAAUAAAAAAAAUGGAACUGCCAGAUCUCAUGAUUUUUCAUUAGGAGACUUUGGAUGACGUUUGUAGCUAUGAAUAUUCUUUGACUAAAACCUUAUUGGUUUUCAAAUUUUUAUCGAAGUUCCUGAACUUAAUGUGAUAAUUUAUUUCUAUGUAUGUUACUAUAUUUUUUAAAUUAAAAUUUAUAGUUGUUUAUAUUAAUGAGAUUUUAAAUAAAAACCAUAAUUUGUGGGAUUAAAAAUAUUAAAAUAUAAAUAUACUAUUGUGUGUGUGUAUAAACAUGGGUACAUUCAUCAAAAUUAACCAAAAAAUUAUUGUACCAAAACAUGGGUACAUACUUUAAAAUCACAAAAGGAAAAAAAAAAGAUAUUUGGCUUACUAACAUUAGUAAAUUUCUUCGAUGAAACUUGACAUGGAUACAUUCUCAAAUCAAAGAAAAAAAGAAUGUACGUACCCAUAUAAGUUAAAAAUUGAUUUAAAAAAAUUGAAUAGAUUUUAUAUAAAAAAAGUACAUUUUACAUAUAACAAAUUGGUGUAUUUAAGAAUGAAUACAUUUUAAGAUUAAAAAUUUGAAAAAGUUACAUGAAUGGGUACAUAUAAUUUUUUAUUUAUUUUGGAAAUCUUUUGAAUUGAAAAAUAGUUAGGAGUUUAAUAAAGGUGUGGGUAUUAAAAUUCUAAAUCAAUUAUUAAUUUCAUUUUAAAAAAUUAUGUAACUAACAUGUAAAUUCAUUAUUACAUUAAUGUUAGAACUUUGAUCAAAAUCUGAAAACUAAUAAGGUUUCAGUCAACGAACAUUAGUAAUUAGGGAUUGGAUACUAAUUUUUCUUUUUUUAUUUUUGCUUUGUAAAAAAACGUAUUUGGCUCAACCUAAUGUUGAAGAGUCAAUGAACCUGUGUAGAAUAUUUAAUACCUAAUUGUUCAAUGAACCUAAUUAACACUCAUCCCCGGCAAUACACUCUGUUGGCCAAAUAUUUCAAGGAAAUAUUUUUUAAUCCAAAGCACCGCUAGCCCGACAAGAAGUUCGUCAGACAAACUGGACUAAAAUCUUUUUAAAUAAAAUUUAAUUUUUGCACGACGACAUAUUUUGGUCGGGUCAAAACAUUUUCGCCACGCCUCAAUGGUCAAUGCAUACUUACUCGAUGAACGUUCAUGGGGUGAGUUUAUAUUGCCCGACGAAUAUUUAUUUUCGUCAGCAAAAGUGUCUUUAAUUUUGUCCAACGGGACUCUGUCGCCUUAAACCCUUCGCGGCGAACUCCUUCCUUACGAGACAUCGUCUCCUAAGUUGUUUUUGUUCUGUUGUAUAGAAAGGAGGAAAUGAACAUGCAUGUAACGUGCAAAUACUUAUUCAUAUAUGGUAUGUUGUGUUAUUAUAACUUCUUUAAAAUAAACACUGACAUUGGUAAAACUGAAUUACAACAAAUAUCCUCAAGUAUUAUGCUUAAUAAAAAGUACAAAAUAAAAACAAUUUCCAUGUAAUACUACAAAAAAAAAAACAAAAAGGCAAUUGUUAAACGCUGACAUUGAUCAAACUGAGUAGGAAAAUACAAAAAACGAAAGGCAAUUUGUUAACCUAAGUAGGAAAAUACAUCAAUUAUUUGUAUCCAUUGAAAUCCAAAGAAUGAAAAAAACAUCAUAAUAAAUUCUCCCUAUAUGUAUAUUGCCUCAUAUUUAUCCUACUAUUUUUCUUACAUGAAUUUAUUUAUUUAGCUAAAAAGUAAAUAAAUAACAUUCAAAAAGGAAUUUAAACCUCUCAAGACAGCCGACAUGCAAUUGGCGUCCUCAUUUUCAGAUUAAAUCCCGUUCUUCUAUGUAUUACACCAAUACUGAGGUUGUAAAAUUUCGAUGGCCAUUAUAUAAUCUACAUUCAGUUUUGACUUUAUUAUUUGUUUCUGUUUCAGUAUAUAACUUCCCGUGGAGAUAAUAAUGAACAAAGAACUUGAACCAUAUUCAUUAUUCACAUGUUUAAUUGUUCUGAUCUUCAAUCCACACCCUUCACGUGGCGACAUCGUGUAGAAAUGGUCCCCACUUUGAGGAUAGUGUACAAGCUCAGUUAGGUUAUAAAUAGGGCAGGCAUAUUGCAGGUGCUGCACUCACACAAGCCAAAUACAAUUACCCAGAAGCCAUCGUAUUCUCUCUUUCCCUGCCUUCAAACCCCCAAAAGAGUCACCAUGCUAGGUCUAGCAAACAAUGUGGCUGCCAAGGUGGCCUCAGUAGUUACCACUACUCAUCAACACAUUACUGGCGAUCAUGAGCUUAGCCUAUUUACCAUGUCUGACCAGAAAAUCUUGGAACAAAUUUAUGGUACUCAUGUUCAUGCUGAUGAAUCCUUUGAUGAUGAUUCUCUUUUCGGCAUCACCGAAAAUAUCCUUAAGCGUGCUACCCAAAUUGUUGACAAAAUUGUGCAGGUAUAUAUUUUUAGCUUACAUGUAACGUAUGCACGAUUAUUAAACUGUCAAAUCAUUAUUAUAGUAUACCAAAAUUAAGUCACUAAUUUUAACCAAAUAACAUAACAUGCUCUUUUUUUCUUUCUAUAUUUUUUUAGGAGAAGUGAUGGAAUAUUUACGAGACUAUUUUAUAACACAAUAACAUAAUAUGUUAUUUUAUCUAAGAAAGCAGUACUCGUGCACUUAACUCACUUCUAUGUUACUUGUGCCUUGUUUCAGGGUACCCAAGUGCACGUGGAGAACAUAGAGGAGAACACACCCAAAGCAGGCUUCAGUGCACCAUUGUGCACACUAAAGUCCAUAGCCAGCGAGGUCAUUACCUGGGAAAUUAAAUAUACAACACACACACACACACAUAAUGAUAUGUAUAUUUCUUGUAACUUUUCAUGUAUAUUCUUGAAUAUUCACACUAUCAUGGUUAAUCUUAAAAUUUCAGAUGCAAUGCAAGCCUCCUAGUGAGGAAGUUGCCCACAACACAACCCUGGCCAUACUGAACAAGCUAUCAAGCUAUUCAUGGGAAGCAAAGGCAGUGCUGACUCUAGCAGCUUUUGCCAUGGAAUACGGGGAGUUCUGGCUCCUCGCCCAGCUUCAAGAAUCAGACCGACUCGCCAAAUCAAUUGCAAUCCUGAAGCGAGUCCCCUUGCUCCUCAAGCCCUCGGACCUGCACAAGAAAAGACAAGCAGUGCUUGAACUUAACAAUCUGAUCAAGGCCACAUUGCAAGUGAUUGAGUGCAUCGACCAAUUCGAUAAGCUUUCCAGCUACGACCCAAAAGAUGUCCCAGCGUUGGCGCUAGCAAUGGACCAUAUUCCAGUUGAUGUGUACUGGGCUGUUGCCACUGUUGUUGCUUGUGCAACUAAGAUCACCAUCCUCACCUGUAAUGAGUAAGUUCUCCAUUGACCUUUAGGAAAUCGCUCUUUUGCCAGACCGUGCAUCUGGUUGAAGUGAAGUUUCGUAAUCCAAAUUCACAGCCUAACAACUUAAUUUAGCAUUGGUCUGGCAAAUAAAAAUUAUUUGUUUAGUAGUUAAUAAAAUGACCAUGGUUGCCUUCGUUUUAGGGACAAGGAGCAUGAUCUAGCCCCAUUUGCUCAAAAAAUUCACUAUGUCCUAAACAAGCUUAAGAUCCAGCUUAUUGUCUGCAGAAAACAAAUUGGUGGGUUAAAUGGAGAUGUUUCAUUUGGAAUUAUUUUCUGUACUUGCACAAAUGAAACGCUCAAGAUAAUCUUUGUUUCAUGCAUGCAGAGGAGGCAGAGACUUACCGGAGGCUAAGGAAAAUCUUCCGAACUCCUACUGAAAUCAUGGAGGUUUUCAAGGCCCUGAUUUUUACCAAGGAAAAUGUCCAGCCGCUCGUUGAUGGUUCUACUAAACAAAUGGUUUGUUCUAGUCACAGUACUAUAAUGUGUAAUUGAAUUAUUUUUACCGCUGGCACUAUGUUGCUGCAAGGAAAAUUAAAGUUAAUAAUAUGACAGUAACGUACCAUAGAAAAAGAUGGCAGUAAAGUUGCUUAGGAGUACUUUUUUGUCAUACAAAAUUUCCAACGUAAUUUUCUUGGCAUGACUAAUUUAAUUGGAACCCUAAAAUGUCACGUGGAAUAUUAAUCUUUAAUAUGCAUGUUUGUAUAUACAAUUCAGUUUUUCUACUGAGCUCCUAUGUGAUUAGUCAAUCAUAAUACUAUUUAGACACGUAAAAUAAACAUCAUUACGAACUCACUAUAAAUAAAGGUGAGUGCAACCAUUGUAUGUGAGACACACCUUUAAGGAGGAGUAUUAGCAAAGAAAAUCAGUUUUUGGUGACAUGAUUUUUCGGUUAGUCAAAUUGCUACUUAUUAAUUACUUACAACGUGCAUAAUUCAUUUAAACAGGUUAAAAUCGAUAUCCUGAGGAAGAAGAACGUGUUGUUGUUCAUUUCAAGCCUAGACAUCUCUGAUGAUGAUAUCUCAAUCCUCAAGCCCAUCUAUGAUAUGAUAAAGAAAGACAAUCAGCACAAGAUUGUGUGGAUUCCGAUUGUGGAGCAUUGGACCGAUGACCGCCGAAAGAAGUUUGAGAGCCUCCGAAAUAAGAUGCCAUGGUACACAGUGCAGAUCUCGGCACCUGUAGCAGGCAUCAGAUUCAUCAAGGAGGAGUGGAGCUUCAAGGGUAAGCCCACACUAGUGGUGAUGAACCCACAAGGAAAGGUCGAACAUCCCAACGCUCUCCACAUGAUUAGGGUUUGGGGAGUCAAUGCUUUCCCUUUCACAAAGGCAACUGAAGAAGAGCUCUCACAUGGUCACGGAGAUAAAUGGAUUGGCACUGUUGUCCAAGGGGUUAGCCAAUCUGUUACGGUAAUUUCCCUUUUAACUGUUUAAAUAUGAGGACCGCUAUUGCAACCACAUUUACUUACCACAUUAUUAACCACCUUUCUAAUACAACUUAAUCUUACAUAUAUAAGCGUGGAUACAAAAAACAUGUUAUUUUUACCGUACCGCCUCUUUAAUAAAGGUGUAAUAAUAAUGAAACAUAUUUUUGGCAAGAAGUAUAAAAUAACAAAACAUAUUAUAAUUGACGGAGAAGUGUAAAAUUGUACAAGACGCAACUCUCCCAUUAAUAGAGAUUAGUAUAGAAUAGCAACGCUCCUUAAAUCUAGAAUACAUUUCGUUAGUUAAGUUUGUGUGGUUGAUCUAACUAUGGCUUGGUCAAACAGAUCAAAGAGGACAAGUAUAUUUUCUUCUAUGGUGGCAAAGACAAUGGUUGGAUUCAAGAGUUCACAAAGAAAGCAACUGCCCUUGCAAAUGACCCCAUCUUCAAGGAAGCAAAGAUUCAAAUCGAGUUGUUCUGCGUGGGAAAAGGAAGCAAGGGGGAAGAUGACCAUGGCAUCCUCGGGAAGUUCUGGACUGGCAUCGAAAGCUUGUUCUUCACCAAGGUUCACAAGCCAGCCGACCAAGUCGGUCAAGAAAUCCAGAAGCUACUUUCUUACAAAAACGAAAGUGGAUGGGCUGUGCUCAGCAAAGGGCAUUCUGUGGUGCUCACCGGCCACGGUGUCGAUCUUGAGGGUGGUAGAGGACUUUGACAAAUGGAAGGACCAUGUGAAAGAGAGUGGCUUUGAGUUUUGCUUCAAGUCAUACCAUGAGAGGGUUCGCACUGUGAGUCGACCUUGCUGCCGCCUUGAUAUUCCAGGCUCUACCGGGAAGGUUCCAGACACCAUGAAGUGUCCUGAUUGCCACCGGAGCAUGGAGACUUUCAUCAGUUACAAGUGUUGCCACAUUGAUGGUCCUACUGCACAUCACUAAGUUCUCGUUCUACUUCCCUUUACUACUUCAAGUGUGAUGUUGGCUAGUCCAAUAAGUUCAGAGUAGUAUGUUGUAAUAUCUAUAAUAAAGGGCAACCUAGUUAGCUCAUGCAUGGUGAUACUUGAUGCCUUAUUAAUGGGGACUAGUAUGCUUAUGUAAUUGUCUUCCUGAGUAUGUUUUCAUGGUAUGUAGCUGCUACUUUAUGUAAUGCAAUGUUUAUUUGAAUAAUUUGAGAUGUCUACAUUUCCCUUAGUGUGUGUAUGAAUUAUCAAUUACUUCAAAUUGUUCAGACUUAUAUUUGAGGAAAAUAACUUCAAAUCUAAGUCCUUGGACGUUUUAAAAAUUCAAGAAAUCAUCAAAC
This 63090-nucleotide long non-coding RNA is filed under the name Malus domestica (apple). RNAcentral's name for it is "long non-coding RNA (MDOM_LNC012125)". Lineage: Eukaryota; Viridiplantae; Streptophyta; Magnoliopsida; Rosales; Rosaceae. The record is from RNAcentral.